This 63531-nucleotide long non-coding RNA is filed under the name Musa acuminata (dwarf banana). Its description in RNAcentral is "long non-coding RNA (MACU_LNC007640)". Lineage: Eukaryota; Viridiplantae; Streptophyta; Magnoliopsida; Zingiberales; Musaceae. The record is from RNAcentral.
CUUUAUGAUAGAAGCCUGAGUCGGGCCCCAAGGAAGGAAAAGAGCUAGCUGACUCCGCUUACUCAUCCAAGGGUCGAAGGUACUUCAUGCAUCGGCAUCAGCAAGGAUUUCUUUCCAGAAUAUGGGAUUGCUGCUGCUGUGAGUGAUCAGGCACAAUAUAGAAAGAAUGCAGGAUCAGCUCCGGGUCCUCUUAAGAAGGUCGGCCAGCUAACCAAAGCUCUUUCUUUUCCCAUAAGCAGUCUUCACGCACGGCUGACUCAAGCUCAAGCAUCGGGUAUGACUGCACAAAAGUUGUUGCUGUAGCUUCAUCCUCUGCUCCACUUCUAAGAACGAAACUCGGAUAUUCGAAUUGACCUCCCUCUCGCCUACCCGCCAACGAGCUUCAUUCAAGUCUUUAGCAGCCACGGUUGAAGUCUAGAAAUACACAGAAUUCACACCUAAGUAGCGCAAGAGCAAAAUCAAAUGCCCAGACGAAUCCAAGCGGAAGAGAUAAUCACUCUGCAAAUCAAAUAAUGAAAGCGUAGCAUGGGUAUCUGGCGUGUCUUUGGGGGUUAUGAGAAGAACCAACCCCGAAAUACUAACAAUCUGGGAAGCUACCUUACCUAAGAGCAGUUCUCUACAUAAAGAAUUGGGCUCGGACAUAGUAAUCAAAGCAUAGCAUGGAAAUGAACCCGGGGCAUAGGAAUGAGAUAGGGGAAACGUCAUGAACCAGUGGGUACGAAAUCCGACUAUAAAGUAAGAAAAUGCUUGAUACCAUCUAGAGGAAAGGAAUGAACCGACAACAACCAGGAACAGGAGCGAGGGGACACUUUAGCAUCACAUUAGUAGGAUCGAGCCAAGAAAAACCCCAGUGGACCUAUGACUAAACUCCUCUGCUCCCGAGCCUCCCCUUAUUUAUAGCUAACGCUAAAAACUGCAUUGAUGGACCACUCAUGAAUUCUUUCUUUGUCCGGUCGGUGGUGCAGCGCAGAGGCUACGUGCAUUGGUUGGUUAACUGAACCACCGGCAUAGACAUUGGCAUAGACAUUGGUUGGUCGCGCUAGUAGUAAUUUCUACACCGACAUAGAGAAACCGACAUAGGUAAAAACAAAGAAAAACUCACAACUAUUCUAUGAUCCAACAACAGAAAAACUCAUGACUAUUUGAUGAUACAAUUGAUGAUACAAAAAUAGAAAAGAAAGAAUGAGGCUUCAAGGCGGGGAUCCUAAGAGCGAAUCUACCGGGCAAGUACGAUUUGGUACGAUGAGUUAAUAUACUGUAAGUAAGGAUUGAGUCCUGUAGUAAAAGAAUGGGGUAGUGCCCGCACAGAUCAAACUAAUAAAAGUAGGGAUACCAGGAUACCAGGGACCUCAACCCUUGCUUAUUUGACUUCUUUAGAGACUCGUUCAAACUAACUUAGCCUUUAUCUAAGCUAAGCGUGCCUUCCCUUACUCUUUGUCUAUCUUUUUCAGCUACCUCCCUACUGCACUAGAACCUUGCACCAGUGUCUCUUAGCUUCUAUCCUAAGCCUAGAUCCCUUUGUUCCAAAUCUACCGUCUAAGCCUACCGCUGCUACCUCUAAAACGGACAUGCCUGUCUUGACUUCUGACAUUUGUACUACAGCUCCCACCUAGUGAAGGAUGUCCGCCCCUUAGUCCUUUCUUUGUUUAUACCAUUGGAUGUCGUCUGCCCCUUGUUUCUACUAUUUGAUGUCGUCCGCCCUUUCUUUCUACUAUACCCAAGGUUGUUUCUACUAUACCCAAGCAAGACCACGUUGUCCCUUGUUUCGCACGUCGACGGAGUUAAUGACCAUUGAUGCACGAACGGACGAAGACAAGACGGAGUUAAUGACCGAACCGACCGAGGUACUUUAUAUGCCCCGGGACAGACCUUCCUUGCAUGGGUGAAUGAGCGGUUCCACUACAAGAACGAGUGCUUUUACUUGAAUAAUGAGUCCUUUGCCAGUAGGCGCGAUGGUACACUUGCAACACCAGACACAGACUAAUUCGCGUGCUAUUUCAGGCUGGGCUAUGCGACUUGAGGACCUAUUGAUGUUACCUCAAUGACUGGGUGAAUGGUUGCUCACAGAAUAGGGGUGCUGCUCGACAGACUUCUUUAUUUGACUCGGGGACUGAGCUAUGUUACUAAAAGACUGUGCCCGUGGGGACGCCAGGAAGACUUAUGGAAUGGUCGCUAGCAGAUGGAUAGGUGAAUUAAUUAACAGGAGUAUAAUUCUCGUAGUAUAAUAAGAGAAUUCGUUAUUGUAUUUUGAAUGAACAAACAAGCAAAUCAAGUAAAGCACGUAGACCACACCUCGCAUCAAAGAAAGCCGGAGUAAUCUAGUAGGGCCCCUAAGAUUCUUUCCUCUUAUCUGUUUGUUCGUGAAGUCACUUCGUGCGUAUCAAACUCUAGGGAUCUUUCUCUUUCUUGCCAACCGCAUAGCCUCUGUCCUGAAAAUGGUAAAUACAGACUAGAAUGACUGUUAAUCAGAAUUGACUACUACCCGCCAAUAGAGGAAACUAGCAUCUAACUCAGUGAAUCAAACUCCAAAGUCAUAAUCAAAUCAUGGGCGUUAGGACGGAAUUACCCAGCGACGUACCAAACAAAGAAUAUGGAAUAACUGAGCAGCAACCAAGCCUUGCUUUUGCUUACAACUUCUUAGGUCUGAUGCCUUAUUUUCUUUCCUAAGUCUCGUAGUUACAAUACAUAAUGAAACUUAGUAGUACAGAGGCCUAUUUCACCAGUAGCCCAAGCCCUAUGUUGGUAUCCUUUUGACAAGCCCGCCUCUCCUAUACCAAGGGGGUAGCUCACUGCCGCUACACAUUAGUAGUGACUUGCCCUAUCCAAAUAUCUGUUAUUAUUAAGGUAAGGAAAACAGAUCAAACUAGGGAUGGCGCCUAGACUAUUGAUUUGAACUAUUGAUGUAUAACUAUUGAUUGAACUCUUUAGUGAGGGCUACGAUACCUAUGGCAACUACAUCUAUGGCAAUAAAUACUUAUCGGAGGAGUGAAAGAGGUGCGGUGCUCUAAGACUAGGAUGAAAGGCUUUCCCUAGUAGUGAGAUGUCAAUUCUAGUUUCCGUUUGGGUUCGGUGCUUGGCCUAUCUUAUCUCUGUGACUUGCCGAUUCCAUUUCUCUAGGUUCUCUAUUGACUCAUUGCCAGGGAGUUCUUUCGCUUUUGUCACUAAUCCAUAAAGAAUUGAGUGCCCUUGCCACUAACAGUGCUUUCAGCAGGCUGCUCACAGUGCUUUCAGCAGAAGAAAGAGAAGCAGAAUCAUUUGCCUAAGUAGUAGAACUCGAGAAGCCAGUCACUCAUUGAUAACCCAGUCACUUUAAAGGCGGGAGCGGUUCCGCAGAAUUAGCUACACCCCCAUCCUCUGAGAAACUUUACUUGACGCAUCCCUUUCUUUUGAAUCAGACUGGGGCUUGGCUUCCAUCGUCGACAACACCUUAACUUGCUUCUCUUCGCCCAUAAAGAUGUUAGGAAGAAAUGACUUAUAAGCUCUCUUAGUCGGAUUCACUUAGUUGCAGGUGCUAGUGUUGGAACGGUAAUUGGCUCGGCUUUCCCUUUUGUGAAGAUAAGUUCAAGGCUUUCCCUUUGCACCCGUUGCUUGGCUGUUUCUAGUUUAUUGAAUUUGAUUCUAAAUCUGUUCAACCCAAUAGAUUCUUAAGUAAACACCAUUCUUAUUGGCACUACCGGGACUCGAGUGAGAACACCCAUCUUUGCUGGCACUGCUUCUAUAUAGGAUUCCACUAGAACUUCGAUUUCUUCACCGAGAACCUGAACUAACUCUAGCCUCCUUGCCGACCUAUGCUAUGUCUUCAAAUGCAAUUCUUCACUGAGUCCCACUUUUGGUGUUCAUGGCGGCAGUAAAGUCUCUGCGGAUCGCCUUAGCAUUGAGUCUUCUGGUUUAUUGAAUUGAAACCCCUCCCCUACCUAUACAAGUUCCCGAGUUAAGAGUAGGAACAAUAUCAUCAGCCGGGUACGCUGCAAGGGUCUCUGUUUCAUGCUACUAAGCAAGACUAAGCUACGGGAGUUCUUUUCCUAAUUUCAGGGCGUCAGUGAGUUACCUGUUGUGCGUUAGUCCGAGGAAGAAGUAGAAGAAUUCGGCAGGUAAGAUAGAUCUUAGUAACCACUUCUGUGAAAGUUAUGAACAAGUCCGUAUUUAGUCCCAUACCCUGUGCUACCAUUCCUUGGAUUCGACUGUUCUUAGAUACUUUACCUCAGCAUUAGAAAAGAGCUUGUUUCUAUCUACGAUAUUCUGCACUUAGUUGUCGGUUCAUAAAAUAGAGUGAGAGUAUAAAGGUGAAGGAUCAGAAACGGAAUAGGGAUCUUCAGCUGGUAAAGAAGAGUAACAAGCAUAAUUAGGAUAAGAUUCAAAAGAGAUAAGGGAUGCUAUGUCUUUUCUUGCUUCUCAAAUAAUAUUUCUAGUGGAAUUCUAAGAUAGCUAAUUUCUAGUGGAAUUCUAAGAUAGCUAAUUUCUAGUAGAAUUAAUAGUACCCGUAAAAUCAUAUUUGAUAGUAGAAUUCUGACUUGAGAGUUUAGAGGCGCUAACGGAUCCAGUUUUGAAGCAAGUAACCGACUCGGGAAGGUAGCUCCCUCAGACAUGCUUUAUGAACUUACUAAAGAGAACAAAAGGGGACUCAUGAACUCCUUAGUAUAAACAAUGACUUUAAUCCCCCCGGCCCGGUUGGAGACUUUUCGACACCUUUACGAAAUUCUAUAUCUGGUGCUAAAGAGAUUCAAUGGAAUUAGAAAACUUUCACUCACCUUGAUGAAUCUACUUCACUGUAAACACCCUUUCCUAACUUGAUAACUGGAACAAUCAAAACUACUGAUCUAAAGAGUUCAAUACCGGUAAGCAAACUCUAUUCUCUACUUCCCGACCUCUGGAAUCACUACACUCCCUACGAGGAAAAACCGAUGAAGAACAGGCGCUCUUUCCACUAUACAGACACAAAGGAAAAAAGAUUGGAUAACUGAUCUGAUUCAACUCGGGGGGAAGCUGUUCUAAAGUCUGUUACUUGCUGUGCGAGGAAGGAGUGACUUUGCGGUGUGAAAGCUGGGUCAAAGGAAGCAGUUAGAGCUAAGUCGUAAAGAGAAGAAAGAGAAUUGUGAUAGUUUCAAGAAGUAGGUGGAGUGGUCCAGAGGCCUUAUAGUAAGUUGCCCUAACUGUAUUUGUAGCCUAGGAGCCAUAACUGUAGUAGUUAACAGAGGUGGAUGAGCAAGAGGUAUACACUUAGUAUUCCAAGUAGGAAAGUGAGAAUGAAACAAGCUGAGGGCAACUAUGAACUUCAUUGAAUCUUUCUCUAGAUCCUAUAACUCUACUCAGCGUGUGCCCUAUUCAACCCUUUAAUCAUGCCAUUUGAAGCGGGUUUGAUCUCUUCCUAAGGGAUUUGUAAAAGUAGUGGAAUGAUUUGUUGAAUGUGAAGGAAAGCUGUCUGCAGUGAGAGUUUUCUCCUUAUCCUAGUAUUAGAGCGGGUCUUCAAGGGUAGUUGGCGAGAGGGAGGUGAGAGUGUCGGUUCAGAACUAACAGCAAGCAUCAAGUCUUGUUCUUGAAACUUGGCUUUCGACCUUUUCCUUUCUUUUCUGGCCCUUGUUUGGGGACUAUCCCUAUUUAGAAUAGAGUUCGGGUCGAUAACACACCUCUCGUUGGUUAACUAAACAGAUUGUUUGGUAAAGUAAAGUAGAAAGUUAGGGUCGAGUUCAGGGCAUCAUAUCUUACUUGCUUUGCAGCGGGAAGCUAUUCUUCACAGGAGAUGCAGCGGGAAGUCGCGGGGUAGCCAGGCCCAGUCAGCUUUAAUAUAAGGUCAAGUCCAGCAUUUGAUUCCCGAGUUGCCCCUGUGCCCCGAGUUGCAUCUUUCAUCUUUAUUAUAUGAGUGCAAUUUCUCGUUUCAUCCCGAGUUGACCACUGUAGCUAUUCCAUCUCAAUGACAAUUGAACUACACUUGGAACUUAACCUCGUCUCUUUGAACUCACCCCUCAUAAGCCAAAGCAAGGAGUGAUUAAUAUUCUUCCCUUCCCGAACUUGGCUUGAGUACUGCUCCUGUUCUUGUUUAAUGCCGAGUUGCAUCAGUAUUUGUUCUUGUGUCGGGUAGGGUGAACACUUAUAAGAGUUAGGGUAGGGUUCCGGGCAGAAUCAUAAUAUCUUAUAGGCGAUGAAGCGGUCAGUUAAGAGUUUUGUUCUUUUACUAGAUUAAUUAGUAUAGGAGUUGUGUUCGGGAGCCUCUUUUCCUUGGUUACUUCUUUCUAUUAUAUUGGAAGAAAAGGAAGAAACAUGACGAAUAUGUACACAAGCCUAACUAGUAUGUAACAGAGCCAAUCCACGCUAAGCUGCGGGACAAACGGAAGUUCAGUUACCAACAAUAGAGGAAGCCGGGUAUGGUCUCGCUUAUCUUAGUUGGGCAGCAGUUCAAUUGUUCCUGAGUGAACCUGUCUUUAUAGCGGUAGUGAGCGGAAGGGGUUGGCUAAAGUCAAAUCAGUAGAUUAUAGGUCGAGUGCCAGUACCUCAUUUCAAAGGAAGGAGUGCUAGGUUCGCGAGAGGGAUAUGGAACUAGUGGUAGCUGGGUAACGAAACUAGUAAUUGCUGGGCCCUUAUUCUUUUAGUAUUCUACUUACUGACUUACUUGCCUUCUACUGGAUGCGCUAGAUGAAUACCCUUUCUGGAUUUCUUUCUUCUGGAUCUGGAUCCGAAUCAAUUCUUUUUGGCGGACUCGGUUGUAAACAAACUUGCUUAUUGACCCACAGAGCGGGGUGCUAACUAAUGUGAAUGAAGAAAUAAAGUCAUGGUUGACUUCCCUGACAAGCGCCAAUAACCGAACCACGUCUACAAAAUGCCAGUACCCAGCUGCUACUCGUACUAUCUUUUUUCUCUUCACUUGACUUCCCCGAACUAGACUUUCCUCGCGCCUCAAGAACAAGACUUUCCUCUGCCCCGAACCCUACUUUAUGUGAAGAAUGGAAUGUUGUCCACCAAUUAUAGAAUCUAGUAACUUCAAACUCCGACUCCUGCUCCAACUCAAUAUCUUGCUGGUUUUUGAGAUCUUCUUGCUGGUUCUUUAGAUCCUGCUCCUUCUUAUGAUCCUGCUCUUGCAAACACAUUAAUAAGUCUUUGGCCUGCACAGUGUUUAGUCACUAGCCCUACCCUAGCCCCAAUUGAAUAUUGAACAUAUGAUAGAGCUGCAUAUGAUAGAACUCUGAACUUGAGAGGCUUUCAGCACCUUGCUUUAAGAAGAGAAUGGAGGCAUCUAAUUAGGACUUACUCAUAACUCGUAGGAGACGAAGAAAGGACUUGUACCACAGGACUACUCGACUACUUACUUUAUAACUACGGAUUCUCUGGUCGACCACACCUCGCUUCACUUCAUAAGUACUGAAUUCUGCACUUCCCUUAGCAUUUGUUAGUGGUCUGGUCCAAGAGAUUAGCUGUUUCAUCAAUUCUCUUUCUUAUGAUUCAACUCGGGGUGCCGACCUAUCUUUAAUUCAAUACCAGAUGCGGCAGAUUGGGAAUACACUAACUAACAGGAAAAGGCUUGUUCAAUUAGAAGUGUUCUACUAGAUGCGGUACCAAUUAUGUAUUAGGGCCAGCUCAAUAGAUCUUACCUCUGAUAGGGGAAUGCCAUGAGCUUAGGGAGUAGUAGAACCCAUGUUUGUUGCUGUUAAGGUAAGGCUCGGGUGCUUGUGUUAAGCAAGUAGUCAAUCUAUCACCUCAGUCCGCAUGUCCACUCCUAAAUUCCGUAUUUCUCUAUAUAUAGGAAACCCGAAGAAACAGAAUUAGGAUAUAGGUUAGGUUAGAGAUAUAAGCAGGAGCUAGAUCAGAUACUUAAUGAGAAGAUAGGUAUGGUAUGAGAUAGAAGCAGGAGUGGAAUAAAGAGCAUGGAACAGGCAACGCAGGAAAAGGCGACUGUAUUGACUGGCAAGAAAAGAAGAGAUGGAAAUAAGAAAGAGGCGAUGAACACAGGACAGGGUCGGUUAGUAACAUAGUAGAUCAUGCAUGCCUAGCUCCAGCCUAUUGAAAGGGUAACUAAAGUACUGGUUUCUUUCUCGCCCAGCUUCUUUUGCCUUUGUAGUAUACGCUUGGCCUGUCACUCCGGACUCCUUUACGAGUAGUAGCUUGGCUCUUUCAUUCCUACUUUACAGAGAGCAAGAGGGAGAGUUAGUUCGGGUCAGAAAGGGAAGCAGUGUUCUUAAUAAGAAGAAAGGGAACCAGUUCAGUAACACCUGAUUGAGAGUGGCUUGGCUCCUAGUUUAGAUUGAGAGUUUCAUCCCCUUAUAGUAGUAUAGUAGUCCAGGAGUGGAAAUAGAAAGAAAAUCCGUAUUUGUUGACAGAGGGGUAUAUUAGCCAGCUCAUUAGCCAGAGGGGCAUAUUAGCCAGAGUUAGGUUAGUUGAAAGAGCAAGAGAUUCAAUAAGGUAUUAGUUGAUAAAGAAGAGCAAGUAGAAAGGGAUGCUUCAAGUCCUGUUUCUCAGUGAAUAGUUGACAGAGCCUAGCCUGUAGUUGGUGAGUUUCAUCCUAACUAAAGAGUGGAAUCCCCAGUUCCUGCUCUUGUUUAAUACCUUGUUUAGUUUGAGUAUUUGUCUGUUCUAUAGGUAUUGUAUUACUUUACUGGGUUGACAAGAUUGAGUGGAGGUGGACUACUGUUGCUUGUUCAAUAAGCCUUAGUUCUAGUGAUUUUGCCUUACUCUGGCUCUUUUCACUCAAACAAAACUUUCAACGGGCUCCUGCCGCACAAUUGGAAACCCUAUUUCGGUAUGAUUUUGGAUACUCAGUGAGUGAACCCUAAAUCAGACUACUAGUACAUACCACUGCAUAAGUCUCUUUUUGUAGGUUACUUACCACCGCAUAAGUCUCUUUUUGUAGUUCGAGGUUUAGUAAAAGCAAGAAUUCCACAUAACGUAGUUCAAUUGUCUAAGUUCGUUUCUAGGGUUGGCUAAAUGUAGUUGCCUGUCUGCUUGGUUCUUUGUUUCAAUGGUUUAGACCCGGGAAGUAGUUCGCUAACGGGAACAGAGUUGAUAGGUGCAUUCCCAUUUAUUUGAUAGAACAUCCAGUUAAGAAAUUGAUGUUAGAGUUGCGCCAGGGCAAAUAGUAGUAGCUCUAAGUCUAGGAAAGUAGUACUUUUGUUAAGCAAUGAAGGUGUAGAUAGAAGUUCAGACUCCAAUGUUAGGGUCCACUGGGUUGGUCAAGAGCGCUAGGUUCGUUGCCCGCUUCCAUCUUACAUGGCCUAAUUCCUAUGUUUCUUCAGUUGAAACUGCUGUUCGAGUCUUACUCUAUUAUAAAUCAAAUAGAAGUUUGACUUUAAGCCGAGAAGAAGGGAAAGUAAGGUUAGCUAGCUGAACUUCAAGUUGAGGUCGGCUAGGGAAGCUGUUAAGUAAAGAAAAGGAAGCAGUCAAGUCUGAAGUAGAGGCCAGCAGGAAGGUCAGAGUGAGAAGCACCAGCGAGAGUAUUAUUGGCAUUGGUCAUAUGCUAGUCAAACCUUAGAAGCGGUGUGAGCGUUAGGGGUUCUUUUGAUCGGUGGUUUUAUUCCAAGUUGAUAGUUGAAAUACGAAUUUCCUUAUAUCAAUUCCGAGUUGCCUACUUGAUUGAGAGCACUAGAACUAGGUCGGUUGGUAAGAAAGAGCUCAUCAGCUGUUAUCAAGUAAUCUGUCUUAGCGCGCCAAUAACUAUCCUUGAUGAUCGAUUGCUGCUUCCUUGCGCACAGCUUAGCUUCAUCUGUAUUUGUUGUAUGAGUAGCUGGGCUUGGCCCGGAGCAUAAGUUGAGGUCGAGUGCGCGUUGAAUUGCCCGGUAGUCUAGGUCAAGUUAAAGUUUCAUCCCAAACUAGUAGUUUCGUAGUUUAAUAAGUAGUAGUAGCAAGAGGAGAGAUAUUCUAGUUUACAGAGGAGAGGAAGCUGUUUCCAGAGCUAGAGCUGGUAAGGAAGCUGUUUCAAGAGCGGAUAAGGAAGCCGGAGAGGAGGAGUUUCAUUCAAUACUGCAGGCACCUGAGUUAGGUUAGUAUUGAUUCUAUUUCUAUUCUGACUUCCUGAGUGGAAGACCAGUUAGUAGAUCCCCUAUUCUUAUGAGUAGUGGUAGAGAGGCCUCUCUAAGAAGUUUCGGGAAGGGAGUUAAUCACUAGGGAGUGAAAGAGUUAAGAAAGAGGAAUUAGUUUACAGAGCCUAGCCAGUAGUUUAUCUGUGGAAUACCGAGUGGAAGCCUAAGUGAAGUACCAUACUAUUUCUUCAUUUGCUAUGAAAAAACACGGGUUUCUUAAAAAAGAGCAUUUCAAUGGAACCCCUCAGGAGGCAAAACUCCUUUGCGUCUAUUUUUCCCGGGAAAACGCAAAAAAGGAAUGACUUUGGACCUCGUUAGUAGGUAAAAUGACCUUGCUACGAAAAAACACGGGGUUUCAUAAAAAGAUCAUGAAAUUAGACCUCGCUAUUAGCUAAAAUGGCUUCACUGCCAAAAAAGCCGGGAAAACGCAAGAGGAUCUGGUCUUGCUCAUAUACGGCUACAAUUCCAUACUCCCCGCUUCUGCUCUACUUCCUACUCCUGGCCUGGGAAAAAGGCUGUUUUUGUCGUCGUUGCUUGCCGGGUAUCAAGUAUAAACCUUCAAGUGGUAGUCCUGCUUAAUCAGUAUUUGUUAGUUGACAGAACUAGAUGGAGAGUGCUUUCCGAGUCAGUGAUCUCUAGGAGGUCGGGUGUUUGACUUCAAGUGGAAUCCCUUCCCUAUUGGGGAGACAAUAAGGCUUCACCGAGUAUACGAGUAGAGCCAGAGAGAUAGUAUGAGUUUACAGAGGAGGGGCGAGGAAUAGAAGUAUUGAUUGGCAAGAAGUAGAGGAGCCAUAGGUAAUAUAUAGGAGAGGAGCCUAGCCUAAUGAAGUUAAUAGUAACCCGAGAAUAAGUAGUGACAACAGAAGUCCGCCUGUUUUCAUUCAGAGAUCGGGGCAGAGUUGGAGGGUAAGUUGACGUUUAAGAAUGAUUUGUAGGCCAGUUGACAGAGGGGAGAGAGGCAAGCUAGUCCAGUAGUAGAGUAGUUGGCUUUGAAGCAAGCUUUAGUGUAGUGGUAAAGUUCAAUCCGUAUUUGUUAGUUUACAGAGGUAGAUGAGACUGUAGGUCUGUUAUGAUUAUUAGUAGGAAUACCGGGUAGUCCUGUGAGAGUGUAAUCCCCUGUUGCAUUCUUUGCCAGUAGUUAAGAGUCGCUAGUGGAAUACCCAACCAGUAUAGUAGUAGUUUCAUCCCCUGAAUUAGUUGUUGCAUCCCAGGGGUUAGGAGUGGAAUCCCUUUAUGCUCCUGUUCGAGGUCAAGUUUCAUCAGUAGCUGAGGCUUCCAAUCUAGUAAUUGAACUCAGUAGUGAAAGAAUGAAACAAGUACCAAUCAGACCCCAACUGCAGCUUCCAAGCCUUCAACUGGAUCCGAUCAGACUUAAAGCAAGGGUAGUUACAGACUAAGACAACAGCUGCUCGGCCUACUACUGGUGCUGCUCAGGCCUAUGUUGGGUAGUUACAGAAUCAACCCUAUUCUUCCCUUGCCCACCGAUUGACCGAUGCUAUAGUACCUAAGUAGUAAGAUCAGAAUGAAACUAUUGGGUGUAAGCCUUAAGGGUUAAAUGAGAUGAGAGCCAUAGUUGAUGAGAUGAGCCAGAGUUAAAUGAAACAAAAACAGCCUUUUUCCCGGGUUUCUUAAAAAAGAUCAGUGAAAAUAGGUGAUCUAGUAGUUCCUUGUCUGUUUGACUCGGUCCUCUUAGCAAGAGAUAGAAUGAUGGUUUGACUUCUCGGCCCAGACUUCAAGCACUAACUCCAAAGCUGAUGCGGUGUCUAGGCAGAAUGCAACCGGUAUGUACGAGAAUAGAGCUCCUUUUCGAGUGAGAGUUGAUAGUAGAAUGAUUUGGUAAGCGAGCCCAGCCCAGUUGCAUCAGUAUUAGGGGCAGUAGCAUCUGUCUUUGUAGCAAUAGGAGUUAAUGACUAGGGAGUGUUACCAGAUUGGAUUCUAUAUUACCUGGCUCAGGCUUAUGUUUCUCACCUUGGAAAACAAGAAAUGAGAAAGAACAAAUAAAGUAGAAAAGUCGACAAGGCUGCCGCGCAACUUACGUAGUUGCUUGGCCCCAAUCACUACACAAACAGUAGGGGAAAAUCUAUAUCCAAAUAUCUUAUAUUAUUAAAGAAACUAGAUUGAACUAGAGAAAGAAACCGGACUAUACUAGGGACGAAACUGGGCCAAGAGAACCCUAUUGAUUUUAGUGAUAAAUUACCUUUUUGCCCCUACGUCGGUUUGCAAUGUAAUAUUUCCUAUAAAACGAAAUAAGAUGCGUUCUAGCUCCUUUUAUGCCCCUUUCUUGCCUGUCCUAGCUAUAGCAACAGUCUCAAAUCCUCUGUGCUAAGGGCUGUGCUAAGUGAGUAGUUAAGGGAGUGAAGAGUUCCGGAAUUGAGUUCUUGUGAGCAACUAUUAAGUCGGAGUGAGUGAAAAAGUAAACCCGGGGAUCAACAGUAGGAGUGAGUUCAAAGAGAAUUGGAAUUACUAUAAGGUCCAGGUCGAGUUCUUGUUUAAUACCGAGUGGAACUCCAGGCUGGGAGUACGGAAUGGAAGAAUGGAACUGGUUGGUGAGCAGGAGAAUCUUUAGUUUCAAGAGAAGGAAGAGGUGGGUUGAGAGGUACGUAAAGAAGCAAGUUCAGGAGCAGAUUCCGGAGGAGAGGGUACCCGAGUAGCAGAGUAGUUGCAUCUGUCUUAGUUGACAGAGGCGAUUCACUCUUUAUUUGUUGCCAGAGGUAUAGAUGCGGAAUUGCUGUAAAUAGGGGUAAGUGAGUGAAGUAAACAAUAGCUGAGUAGCGGAAAGUAGGUGCUCGCCUGUAAAAGGAAGAAGAAAGUACUGGCUUUGAGGCUCGGUAAAGUACUGGCUUUUCAGCGGGAAGGAGCCUGAGCUAAACGGUAGCGAGUUAAAGACUGACGAGUGCAAUUCUGUAAUUCCACCCCUAGGUGCUUGGCCUUUCCCUCUUUAGUAUCAUUCUUUCCCUCCUGAGUUCAAUUUCAGUUAAAGGAGAGUUCGAUUACUUAUUGGGCAGUACAUCUUUCUCUUUCUCGUCUCCAGGACCUCUGUGAAACUCUUCUUAUAGCUCAUCCUUCUUUUAUUCAUUUAAGACCGACCGGGAAAAGUCAUAAGUUUGCUCAGCUUUGCUUGUGCCAUGUGAUCUAACGUUUCUGCUUGCGUCUUAGCUUGUUUCUUACUACGUAGCUUGUUCCGUUCCUAGUUUACCCGGCGCUCGACAAACAUAUUCCUUCAGUAUAGUCUCCUUAUGGUUUAGGUUAAGUAUAAAGUUUAGUAUCAAUAAAAGUGAUAUUGUAUAUAUAAUGGAUAUAAUGAUAUAUAAUGGAUAUAAUGGGGUAAUCUCAAUAAGAUGAUUUUCUUAAGAAAGAUUCCAUUCUUGAAUUCCAGGAGAGUUGGGAAGUAACGCAAAAGGCAAGCAUUGAGUUUCUAAAAAGGUGAGCUCCGUUAUCGCCCCAAGAGAGUAAGCAGUCUGGCGUAACUAGAAUAUGUGCAAUGAAAGCUGUCAGUGUUGUUAUCGACCUUAUAUAAAUUGUAAGUUAGAUUCCAUUCAACAAACUAGGGAGCAAGCCCCGAGAGCAAUCCUAAGUUAGUUCCUCCUUGCUUGUCGAGUUCUUAGCAUCUGAUCUUGAUCCUUUUCUGUCUUUGCUUACCACAAUGCAAGAACCAUAUAUCUAUGACUUAGAGCUAGAGCACCAACACUGGAACCAGCGAGCUAGAGCGGGACAAUGACUGUAUACCGCACAUCUGACUCUCGCCAUUAACAUAAGGGCUGCUGACUCACAACUUUCUUCCUUGACUCCAAAGCUCACAGCUGACUCACAUGAUACAGCAACUGAUCCUACUCCUGAUAAAGGAGACUCAGACAAAACUUUAGUGGACCUCGCUAAGGCUUAUUCAGAUUCUAUUGGGCUUGGCAAUACUUAAUGCUUCCUUCCUUCCGAGAACUAGACUGUAUUUAUUAUUCCUCUUCCCAUUCUCCAGAUAUUUCUUAUUUUGAUCUCGUGGACAAUAAGGGUAAAGCGCCAAUAACGGAUUGAUUUUAUGCUUCAACUUACUAGAAGGGCCUUGCCUCUCCUCUUGGGGCUGUAAACCUGGACUACUACUUUCCUUGUCAACUUAAGAUCAAACUCGGGAUAUUCCACUCGGGAUUGCAUUUCUUCACUUCAAGGACAAGAAAUAGGGAAAUCAAGAAAUCAAUCCAGUGCGGGUGUCAAUUCCAUCCUUAUUUUGCAGGUGUCCAUUCAAUCCUUAUUUCUCAAUAAGAGGGGUGGUGUGAUGUUUCUCAAUAAGAGGGGUGUUGUGAUGUAAUAGAUAUAGGUUGGGUGCCCAGUCUAGUAUGGUGACUUGUUAGGCUAGGCUUAGGCUAGUUAACUGACUUUUACUGGGCGAGGGUAGUAGACUUACUUGACACUAUAGGUUUUGGUGAAGUGGAAUUAGUUGCAUCCCGAGUGGCAUCUGUGUUUGUAUACGUGACUUGGCCCGGGUACAAUGUAGUGCAUCUACUAUACUAACAUCUACUAUACUAACAUAGAAUAUACAAUCUAUAAGAAUAUACAAAAUAGAAUCAUAAUAUGGGUACGAUCUAGCACAACUACUAAUGAGAAAAAACCUACCCACUCCAUUAGACCUAAGUACAUUUCACUAGGUGCGCACAAAGCUAACAAGAAAGAAACUAGUCACAAUAAUAAUGGAAAUAGGAAGAAUAAAGAAAUAGUAUAUGGGCUAGGGCUUUCACAGCUAAUAGUGAUCCUAAUAGGAGUCGUUUCUCAGAGUCAUUAGAGCAAAAAGCAGUCCAAACCACUGCUAUUGUUUGUAUCUUUUAUCUAUGUGCGGGUGCGAUGGGCCGUUAAUGGGUGAUGCGAGGACUGUGUGGUGUCUAUGUAAGGUCGAUCCGGUGUCCAUGUAAGGGUGUUUGUUUGGGCAAUAGAGAUAGGUUUGGAUUGACUCUCGGCGGGGUGGGGCAAGCUUCCAACUAUUUGAGAGUUAUGACCAGACAAGCGACUACUACUGUUGCGCGCCCUUAUUGUAAGUUGAAGCAAGGGAAAAGAUAGUCAUUAAUAAGAUCAGGUCUAAAGAAAAGAAAAGAAAUGAGAAAAUGAGAAAAGAAGGAAAAACAACCGGAGGCAAGAGAAGAGUAGAGUAGUCCAGAUCCGAUACCUCUUCUAUCGACCCUACUUUUGAUCUUCUAUUGACCCUACUUUUGAGUGGAAUUCUGUAUUAGUUGACAGAGAAGAAUGAAGCGGGAUAGAUCUAAUCUAGCGCAUUAUCCUAUUGAUUUCUCUUGCACCCUGCGCUUAUCUUAGUUGGGCAGCAUCGGCGGUAUAGUUGACUUUCUUCUACACUCUGUCCAUUCCUUAGUUCAUCCUGUAUUAAGGGCGGCAGCCCCUCGUAUCUGUCUCAUCUGUCCAAGCCGGUAGGUGCCAGGAAAGCAGUCCGAAUACUUUCCACUCGAAGAAUAAUCCUUAUAACAGGAAAUUCUCCACUUCCCACUGCAGAUCAAGAAAACUCCCCGUCAAUUACUUCCCGCGCAUACUAUACUGAAACAUAAGUCACUCACUACGUAUAUACUCCGUUAGCUAAACAUAAGUCACUCACUACGUAGCAGAGCGGUUAGGGCUUUAUACGCAGCACCCAACCCAUAUCUAUUAUAUUAUACUAUAAUGAUACCCGAUACCCACUCGGGCGACUAUUUCACCCCACCUCAGGCAACAAUACCUGUGGUCAUCUAUCAAUUCCAAUUCUUAUCUUCUUAUAGGAUAGGACUUCACUACAUCAGAGGUUAGAUUAGAUGCCCGGGGGCUUCCCUUAUCUUGAUUCUCUUGCGCCUGUACUGUUACUGAUGUAUCUGCUCUAACAGCUGACCGACCCUAUUGCUUCUAUAUGUCUCUUUCGAUUACCUAUUUCUAUUCUAACUGUUUCCCAAGCCGGCCUAUCCUCUGUAAACUCAUGCUUAUUGAAACAAGCAAAGCUGCUGGCUCUGUCAACUACUACAGUUCAAAGAGCUAACAACUCGUAUACUAGUUUGGGAAUCCACUAACUACUACUGAUUCCACAGCUGACCUUGCAGACCUAGACUCUAACUUACCUCGAACAGGGGCAAGCGUAUACUAUACUACAGACCAAGCAACGAGGCAAGUCACACCACACCGGUCCGGCUACCAUUAGCUAUCAGCCAAGUCCUAAAACCUUUGAGUGAACCGAACCCCAUAAUAGGCGCACCCGAGCUCUACUUUGAGAAUAGAAAUAGAACAGUCAACUCCCUUAGCGCAACAGUAACUCGUUAGCGAGCUGGACCUUCUUCUUCCUGGAACAACUUACCAUAAGGGCCUCGUAUAAGUGUUAACACCGAACCGAACUCUCUAAUAAGUUUCGGCAAGGUAGACAAUAAGUGACUUUCUGGAACUAGACCUGGACUCUUAUCUAACUCAAUGAAUUUCUUUGAUACCUGCAUUCGGCUUAGCUAACUCAGGCUACAAUAACUAUCUUCUGGCUAUGGCUACAAAGUGUUCCAAUUCCAUUCUUUAGUGCACUACCGGUAAGUAAACUAACUACUGUAGAAAAGAAAGAAACUACUCGAUCGAUUCUGCACCCGACCUAAACUCGUAUACAAGGGGAAAGCUCGACCCUAACUCUCCUCUGGCUCAUCCACCUCUUACCUAUGGCUUGGCUCACCACUUUCUUUCUUUCCGAUUCCUCUGUCAACUAAUUCUGAUUUCAAGAGCUAUACCUCUGUCAACUAACAAACACAGAUGAAACCGGGGAUUCUUACCUUCACCCGGGCAAGCUAGUACUAACGACUAAGGCCUACCGGUCUGAAACUCGUCAAUAAAACCCGUGUUUUUGGAUAGCGACUCUGGUUUCCCUCCUGAACCGAUCCAAUCCAAUUCACAUUUGACGUUUUCCCGGUAAAAAAGGUAGCGAAGUCUAGAACUCCUGCCGCGUAACAUUAGCAGUUACUUGGCCCUUCCUGAGGUACCUUAUUGAUCCUCAACUUUUCCGUUUUCCCGGGAAACAGCGCUGGCGCGUAACAUUAGUAGUUACUUGCCGGAUAGCAAAUAUGGAAAUUGGAUAGGACUUGAGUUGGGAUGGAAGUCAACUUUCCUCGCACUGGUUCCCUUGCCCACCUCUGUUGGAUUAUACCUUGCAUACCUAGAGUCCCACUCUCAGUACUUAUGGCGGAAAAGCCCUUCUUGAAAACUUCCACUCGUGUUAGCACUUAAAAGCCAGAGUACAACACUAGAACAGCGGAUUCUGAUCUUGAAACGGAAACUACACUUUCUGCUCUAACUGCUGACUUAGCGGGGGAAGGAGUGUACUCACUCCAAUGCUUGAAAGGUAGAGUUUGGUAGCGAGUGAAGUCCUAGAGCUAGGAGUGGGCAGUAGUUAAUAUCCUAUAUAGGAAGAGUCUAAAGCAGAUGCAGUUUACAGAGAAUUGGCCUAUAAAUCAGCUAAGGACAGGUAAGUAAAGGGCCUAUAAGCUAGUUCUGUUCGAUCCUGUUUAAAUCCCACUUACUUUAUGAGUCAUGCAUUUCUCAGCGAUCAAGACAUAUAGGUAGCACAUCAUCUAAUAAGGAAAGGAAUUCUUAUUGGCCCAGUUCACCCCAGUAUUUGUUAGGGGAGCCCGUUAAAGCAAGAUAGGCCGGCCGAUCUCAGGAAUGGAAAUUGUAAACUCAAGAAGAUAAGCAAAUAGACCCGGAGGAAUGAAAUGGAAACCCAGUAAGGAGUCAGCAAUACAAGAAGACUCGUUGUUUACAUAGUGACAUAUUGAUAUGCCUCAGAUUCCAUUCGUGAACCAACUAGCACAGAAUUGAGAAAAUACUGCGAAAAUCCUUCCGAAGCUGAGGUAGGAGAGGAUACCAGUAAGUAUUUCUUCUUGUAUUUAGCUUUCUUACGCUGGCUUUAGUAAUGUGCUCUUCGGGUCUUUCUUCUUGUAUUUAUUAUGCCAAUUCUUCUUUGCCGAUCCGAUUGAGCGUUAGCCAUUUGGUUUGCCCACUCUGCGAUCCACUUUUACACCGUAUAGUUUGAUUAGUAUAUUCUGCGUUCUGUGUUCGAGAGUCUUAUUUAGAACUACUUAAGGCUAAUUAAGACUAUCAAAAGAUAUGGAAUAUUGGAACUCCUCUUCUCUUGGCAUUCCCUCCAUUGUACUUUACUAGCUUAGGAAGUCUGGAUUCAAGCGGUUAUUAGAAGAUCCCCUUCCAUCAGGCUUUCCUUAUUAACCCCUUCCAUCAGGCUUGCUUUCCUUAUUAAUAAGAUAAAGAGGUUCGGUUCCAGAAUAGACGUAAACUACAUUGCUGACUAUCAUAUCUUUGGAUCUUGAGCCAGCUUUCACAUCAGGCAGCUUUUGAAUAAAAGAGAUAGAAAGCACAUCCCCUAUAAUUGAAUAAAAGAGAUAGAAAGCCGCUAAUUGUGGGGACAAAACACUAGCCAAGCAACUACUAAUGUAUAGCGGUAGCGAGUGAAACUCCCUUGACGACCUCUGUUUAAGAAUACCAGUUAGCCGGCAACCCUUAUUAGAAUCCGUCCAAGAAUGAAAACACUAACUAGAUGUGACCUCUCCUCUUGCAACAAACACAGAUGAAACUACAAUACUACUAGUUAGGGCUGUAAACCUAGCUAAAUCCUCUUCUCCUACUUGUAAACUUAAGACUCACUGGUUUCGGGAGCUAAACUGUGACUAGAUACUUAGUUUAGUCUAACUCAGGCUCAUCUCUGAUAACUUCAUUCUUAUCCUACAAGAGAACUCGGGUUGGUGCUCUAGAACACGGGACAGGACUCCUAAAGGUAAGAAACUACAAAGGCAACCGAGCCAAGCCAACAAGCAGACAGAACAGAUUUGCUAUCAGGCCAAUAUCAUCAAUUACAGAGUCGCUAGUUGCAUUCUGUUACUACCCAGUUUCAUUCUGAUCUACUACCCUUGGGUGCGGGUUUCUGAUAAUACUAUGAUAUUCUUAUACUGACUACUAUCAUUCAACUUUACUACUACCACUGCUAUAUGAAUUCUUUGACUACUACUAGUUCUAUUACUAUAUGCGGGCAAAGCAACUACUUGUUUAUAACCGUACAAGCAGACAAGUAACUACAUAAAUGCAUUCUAAGGGCCAACACCAGACCAGACUUUACUUGAGAUCUUACGUUUGAUACCGGAAUGAGGCUUAUCUAACUCAAUUGAUUUUAUGCCUUCUCUGUAGUAGUGGAAUGAUUUGACUCGCGAGUUGUUGUUAGAUAGAGUUGAUUUCAACAGGCUCCUGCCGCGCAACAUUAGGAGUUGCUUGGCCCUUCCCUUUGUUUGAAAAGAGCUAGAUUCUCUUCCUUCCUCGGGACAAUCAGUAAAGUGACCAACUUCUCUUGCUUCUGCUUUAGCCUCCUUUCCCUUUCCACCCUAACCUGGACUCCCGGUCUGAAGACUCUAACCAUUAACAUAAGGGCUGGACUACAACCCCACCCAGCUGUCAACUAAUACUACAAAUACUGAUUCAACAAAGAAUUCCACACUGGGGGCCAGUACUAUCUUUCUCUUCUGCCUCACCUCUUGCUUAUCUACCGUAGUAAACAAAUUCCAUGAAAUUCUGAAAUUCCACUAUACUUACUGGCUUGAAAAGAGGGGAAGGAAUACAACAACUAUACUUACUGGCUUGAAAGGGCAGGAAUGCAAGUCUAUUUACUUGAAAAGGCAGGCAGGAAUUCCACUAUACUUAUUGGCUUUAAAAGACAGGCAGCUGUAAAGAUGGAUACUGGCUUAGACAGACUGGCGGAGACAGAGACAAGCUAGAGGAAAGGGCAAUCCUAUUAUUCACCAACCGACAUGCCCACUUACAGACUAAAGGACUUGAGGGAAGACAAGGCUUUACGACUGGUUUACUUAAUCAAGCCAUAUCCUACUUCCAUGACAGACAGACUAGAUAGACAAAUAUUGCCACAGGGAACAGGGGGAUAAGGAAGAGCUGACUUCUUUCUUCACUAACCCUGGCUUUCCUUUGUCCCUUGCUUUAACUAAUUCCUAGUUAUGGGGUAUGGUAAGUCUGCCUAUUCGUAGACAACACCUUUAUGAGGUAUGGUAAGUCUGCCUAUUCGUAGCGCAAGGGAACAAGUACCGUCCCUAAGUGCGUUAGCGAGCUUAGUACGAAGUGUGACCCUCUUUCUUCUAUUAUACCUAGCACGGGGAACAAGAAUGAUUCUUUAUCCGAUGCCCCAGAACUUGACUUUACGCGCCAACACAAGAAUCCAACCCGAAAGGCACCUGCUCAAGCUUAUUCUCCCGCUUUACCAGCUUCCGCUCCAUCUUAUGUUUCAACUUCACCUUCACCUUACCUUUCCUAUACUGACGACGAUAGCGCUAUCACAUUACCUGCGCAGUAAUAGUAAGGAGCAUGAUAUUAUUCAAUUCCAUUAUGUAUUUCCAUCACUAGUUAUAGAAUUCAGUAAAGACUCAGCUCCUUCUCUGGAAACUGCUUCCUCACCUUUUACAACUACUAUAACAGUACUGGCACCCGACACAAGAACUGAAAGAGACUUGACUUUAGUACACCUCGCAUCAAAGGCUUUACUCUCUUCAAAGCAAAGACAUGACAGUAGUUCAAAAGCUUUUUUCAUUGGGCUUAUACUAUAGGUAUAGAUAGGAGAUAUAGGAUCCGAAUGGAGUGAGAUUAGAGUCUAGUUCCGGUUCUAAAGUAAGGUUAUGACCGAAAUCGGUUCUUUAAUUCUACCUUCUUAGGUUGUCUCUGACUUUCCCACUCCUGAGUGCAAUUCUUAGGGAUAUACCUGCGAGCCCUAUCUUUAGUGCUUUCAAUCUUGGCCGAGAAAUCAAACCAGAAUUCUCUCUCUUGCUAGGAGGACCGAGUAAAACAGACAAGGAAUCCUUCUUUCGAGCCCAGAGCGGAGGUAGAGUCAACCACUAGACUAACGAAGCUAUGAGCCAAGGAACUACUAACUCAAUACCCGGCUAAUAAAUAUAGGCUUCUUCCACUCAAUCAUUUGAACUCUGGCUCAUCUAACGAAAUUGGUUUUCUCAUCUAACUCAAUUGAUUUUCUACCUUAGGCUCCUAGGCGACUAUGAACUUCUUAUAAAGCUUCCUCAGCUGCUCUUGAAACAACUUCUUUCUAAGAUGAACCAAGGGGUCAAAAGACAGAUUCCACUCGGGAUGGUGCCUAGACUAUCACAGUACUACCAGAGUUAGAUUAGAUGGAGUAGAAUAGUAUACGCUUGCCCCAUCACUUGUUCUUGUUGUGCCGAGGAAAACUGUAAUGGAUUCUCGAACAUAUGGUAUAAAAUGAAGUACAUAUCCUGAUCCCGUUACGGACCCUGGUAACGCAUCUGACCCUGACCUUUCCACUGCUGGAUAUACUUCUAACUUCUCCUUACACUGGAUACUUUACUAGCACUGCUUCCUCAUACGAUGAAACUAGAGCAGAACAUCACUCUCCUUCUUACUUAACAGCUUCCCGAAAGAAUAACACCUAGCUACCUGGCAAACUGACUAGCAGGGCCUAAACUCAUAAGUGAGAAUGGAAUUGCACCUAUGGAGCACUGGAAUUGACUCUGCCCCGGUACUUGACUCUGCAACUUACUGGAAGGGCCUCGUAUUGGAAUGAAGAGUUUCAUCAGUUCACCUAUAUAAGAACAGAUAGAAUUAUCCCAUAUUUUUCCCUAGUAUUUCCCUACUGAGUAUGUAUAUGAGAAAUCGUUGAACAUGAGCGGCCCUGCCGCGUAACAUUAGGAGUUACUUGGCUCUGGAUUAUUUGCAUUUGAUCAUUUCUUGUUCGAUAGAUGGAUACCUACAUUCUUCCCACUCCGAUCCGACCUAAACUCUUGCUCUGUAAACUAAUAAAGAGUUGGAUCCCGUCCCGAGCACAUAGCAAGUAGGAAAGCAUACAGAUUGAACUAGUUUACUUACCUCUCCUCUUGAGCUCACUCCUACUGUUGCUUGAAACCCAACCCACUCACCAAAACCCAGGAAAAAAGGCAGCACUGGUGAAAGCUCCUCCGCGUAACGUUAGUAGUGGCUUGGUCAUUAGCAGUUCCUUGGUGGACUUGUUUAUAACACAAGGAAAGGAGACAAGCCUCCAACUAAGCACUAAGUAUACGCUUGGCACUUGUUUUAGUUGUCUCAGAGGCGGAUGUUUUACUUGCAGAGUCAGAGAGGGGUUAAGAUAAAAAGCACAUAGGCAGCUAAGCUAGGAAGCACGAUCAGGAUAGAUAGCCGGUAUUGAACUAAAGAAUGAUGUUGACUUCAAACUUGAUAGAUAGGUCAAGUAAGAGCAUUGGGCCCCGGGUUGGUUCAGAGCACAGGGUUGGUUAUAGGCCUCAGCAAUGUAUAACUUUUGAUUGCACUAUUGAUGAUAACUACACCUAUGGCUCCACUAAUAAAGAAUGAAACUAUACUUACUGAGACUUGAAAAGAGUGGAAGGAAUUCAUAUGCUCCGGGCCAAGCAACUCUCUAUCUGGUGUUACAAAAGAAGCUAGAGAAUCAGCAGUUUACAGGUGUUGGCUUAGAGAAGAGAAAUCCUUCCUUCCUGUCCUGAGUUGGAGGGUCAGUUUCUGUUUAAGCCAGUCUUUGUCUACUGGUAGGGGAGUGGAGAAUAGCCAGUUCUUGUUGCAUCGUAAAGCGGGUCUGCUAAUGAAAGAAAGUAUACUUAAUGGAGUGAUAGAACAAGUAGUAGAGUAGCCCAGAGGUAUGGGAGAGGGAUGGUUUUCAUGGGUAUGUAUAGGAACAAUAGGUAUAAAAGAUGAAAUCGGUAUAGUUGCAAUAUCUGACUUAGCUAGUGAAAUUCUGGAAUUCUACCUGAUGAGUCGAGGCCCUUAUAGUGAGUUUCGUGAGUUCAAUUAGAACUUGCCUUACCUACCAGUGAGUUCAAUUAGAACUUGCCUUACCUAUUGCAAAGAAUGGGUCAUAGGAGUAGUAAUUCUUAUCUUAAUCAGAGAAUUGGGCAUAGGUUUCUUAUACCUUGUUGCGGCGGAUAGUAGAGGCGAGGUGGGGCGCUAAGCAAGAAAGAUGGAAUUAAGUAUUUGUUGAAAGAGUAGAGGUCUUAACCCCGAGUUGAAUCCAUCCGUUCUCCUAUAUAAAUAUAAUAUAUCAUUUAGUAGAAUUUCCCCUACUGUUUAUCUACUGUGUUGGUAUAGACAAGAUGAAACGACUUUUCUACUAUUUUUUCAUUUUAUCAUUGAUUGUUUUUUCUGGUUUCUUGCCUGAUAGCUUUCAUUGUUUUUGAUUCCUUGCCGGAUAGCUUGAAUUGCUUCCCUUGAGACCUAGACUCUGGACUAGAGCAUCUCUUCUACCUUUGCUCCUAUAACUUCAUGAAGAUUGCCAGGUUACAUCCUCCUAUAUAAUAACAUAUAGAAUUUCUAUGGCGCCAAGUAACGGAGUAAGUGUAGCGGCAGUGGCCAAGUAACUACUAAUGUUACGCGGCAGCCAAUAAACAGUUAUAACGGCCAAGCAACUACUAACGACCGCCAAGACACUACUAACGUGGCGCUAAAGUGAGUUUUAGGCGGCGCAAGACGUUGGGCGGUAGCAAUAGUAACAUAUAUUACAAGUUAUUACAAUAGAUGCUUUUGGGGCCGCUCCACUCUUUCUAUUACAAUAUAUGUUUAAAGCUACUGUUUGUCUACUUAAUUCGGUAUAUGAGAAAGAUGUCGACUUUUCUGGAUUAUUUGAAUUUCUUAUAAAUUCAUUCACGCCUCUGAUCUCUCCUCUGAUCUUGCUAAUCUACCUCUGUAAACUCCCAAUCUAUCUUCUCUGUAAACAAGGGAUUCGGACUAUCACUUCACUUUCUUUCUUUAAAAACAGUGUAUCUAUGCUUUCUAGAGCCCAUUGCUUUAUCUCAUUCUCACUUACCCUUAGUUAAAGUCUGCCUUUGACUUGACCUCUUUGAUUCUUACUAAACUGUAUCUCGCUCUCGGAGCUAGCUAUUAAAUGCCUAUGCCCGGGAGUUAGUCUCCUAUGUUCCUGGUUGAGUCUGACUAUACUGUCUUUUAGCCUUGCAUUACUACUUACUAGACUGUCCUUUAGCCUUGCAUUACUACUUCCCGUUCUGCUGCCACUAGCUUCAAUACUGGCUAACAGAGUUAAGAAUCGAGCUGGGACUUACAAGACUUAUCUCACUACUAGAAAGAAUCAAACAAGUGAGUAAUAGAAUAGGUAAUCAUAUCGGAGGGGAUCAAACUAAUAAGUCAGAUAAUCGAUAUAGAACAUGGGAAACAACCUCCUACUUAUAAGUGUUGGCCCGGGAACUCGGCCUUUGUCCCCUUGCCUUCAGUCUGGUACCCCGGGUGCACAUCACAUAUGUAUUUCCUACAUAGGGCUUAGGCUCCUUACUUUUCUUCUGACUUAUGAGCUUUUGUUUUCAACUAGAUUCUAUCGGGCUUAGGCUCGUUCCUUGCACCGGGGCGGGUAGUCUGAUCCAUCGGGUAAAAUACAAUAAUAGUAGGUAGUGUGGUACGACUAAUAGUAUUAAGUAUAAGAAUGCAUGUUGGGGUCAAAAGUGAGAAUGGUAGCGAGGGGAAGAAGAAAGAAAUGCCUCCACUAGUAUAAGAAUGCUACUAGGGACAUUGAGACAACAGCUACUACUUAUAAGCAAACUUAGGCUUUCGCUACUACCUAUAAGGCUUUAACCACUAAUAGGAAUGAAAUACGACCCAGGCCAAGCACCUACCCUUAGGGUUACAGAAUCAAACUCAGUAGCAAGAGGGAGAGGUGAGCUUGUCCAGUUGCCUUGUCCAGUUGCUUGGCCCCUGCAAAUAGGUUAUAGGCGGGCUGAGAUUACACAGGGGUAGAGACCAAUGCUAGUAGUACCUGAGAUUACACAGGGGUAGAGACCAAUGCUAGUAGUACCUGGUCCUUGUCCUAAUUCACUUUCUUUUGAGCUCAUCAUAGGAAAAAGAUCUUUAUUGUUUGUUGGAAAUCCUCAUAGAAAUGGUUGGUAUCAAAAAUCAGUAUGAAACUAACGGACACAUCAUUAAAGAAGACCAAAGGAAAGAGGUUGUGAAUGUAUUGUUUCAUGUUUCCACUGUGACUUUAGCCCGGGAAGGCUAACUCGACCAGAGGAUCCGAAGGAGAAGAAGGGCUUGCUGCUAUCCAGAUCUCGAUAAACAAAUGGAAGGCAAAUGUUGUCCUCUUUUCCGGCGNNNNNNNNNNNNNNNNNNNNNNNNNNNNNNNNNNNNNNNNNNNNNNNNNNNNNNNNNNNNNNNNNNNNNNNNNNNNNNNNNNNNNNNNNNNNNNNNNNNNNNNNNNNNNNNNNNNNNNNNNNNNNNNNNNNNNNNNNNNNNNNNNNNNNNNNNNNNNNNNNNNNNNNNNNNNNNNNNNNNNNNNNNNNNNNNNNNNNNNNNNNNNNNNNNNNNNNNNNNNNNNNNNNNNNNNNNNNNNNNNNNNNNNNNNNNNNNNNNNNNNNNNNNNNNNNNNNNNNNNNNNNNNNNNNNNNNNNNNNNNNNNNNNNNNNNNNNNNNNNNNNNNNNNNNNNNNNNNNNNNNNNNNNNNNNNNNNNNNNNNNNNNNNNNNNNNNNNNNNNNNNNNNNNNNNNNNNNNNNNNNNNNNNNNNNNNNNNNNNNNNNNNNNNNNNNNNNNNNNNNNNNNNNNNNNNNNNNNNNNNNNNNNNNNNNNNNNNNNNNNNNNNNNNNNNNNNNNNNNNNNNNNNNNNNNNNNNNNNNNNNNNNNNNNNNNNNNNNNNNNNNNNNNNNNNNNNNNNNNNNNNNNNNNNNNNNNNNNNNNNNNNNNNNNNNNNNNNNNNNNNNNNNNNNNNNNNNNNNNNNNNNNNNNNNNNNNNNNNNNNNNNNNNNNNNNNNNNNNNNNNNNNNNNNNNNNNNNNNNNNNNNNNNNNNNNNNNNNNNNNNNNNNNNNNNNNNNNNNNNNNNNNNNNNNNNNNNNNNNNNNNNNNNNNNNNNNNNNNNNNNNNNNNNNNNNNNNNNNNNNNNNNNNNNNNNNNNNNNNNNNNNNNNNNNNNNNNNNNNNNNNNNNNNNNNNNNNNNNNNNNNNNNNNNNNNNNNNNNNNNNNNNNNNNNNNNNNNNNNNNNNNNNNNNNNNNNNNNNNNNNNNNNNNNNUCAUCAUUUUCAACGUUCGGAGAAGGCCUUUUACACCCGAAAACAUAGUCCAAAGGGAUACCUAGCCUCUCGUCCAUAACCGAGCCCAGAAGAGGAACCGAACCGCAGUAAGGGCCUAAAGCAUUUGAACCUUGAAGCUUAUAUCGAAAAAGAGAAUCAGACAAGCCGACAAGCUGUUGCGCGUCAGUGAGUUUUACCUACGAAGUAUAUCAAACUACCCUUUCGUCUUCUUUUCUCAUUGGAAAGUAUUCUACGGAUUCGGGAGUAACGAGAACUAGGAUUGGAUUGAAAACUGUAAGCCUGGCUUCUGAUCUCGGCAACUAGGUUUAGGCUUCAACAACGGAUUUCUCAUCUCUCGCCUCGACACUGUAUUCUUUAUUUAUUACUACCGAUACUGUAUUCUUUAUUUAUUACUACCUUAUAUAUACCCUCUGCCCUUAUUACUCUGAUUUGAUUCUGGAAUUCCAUUAUGAACUGAAAGUCGACCAGAGGUAAUUCCAUUAGAAACUGAUAAUAGAGUUUCGGGUGCUGUGCUGAGAGUAGUAGAGUUGGGGAACUCAUCUCAUUAAGCCUAUGGUUAGUAACUAAACUGAUUGGCCAAAGUAAACGAGAAGAAUCCUAAGCUUUCACACUGUUUUAGGAAAGGACCUACUUUCAAGUGGCUGAUCACAGGAAGGACCUACUUUCAAGUGGCUGAUCACAGGAAUAAUAGAAGAUCUCCUAUCACAGUGAGUAGUGGAGAGUAAAAAGAUGCUAAGAAAUUAAUACUUACUUAUAAGGGGUAGCAAGCAGACUUUCCAAUCAUAGUGGGAAGGCGAUCACUAGUGGAUGCACUCACUGAACCCGACAGUCUUUCCAAAAGAGUAGGAGCGUCGAAUUACAAUGAAUUGGGACCGGCCGCUCUGUUGCAUUUAUAUUUGGCGAAAAAAACCAAAGAAGUGAAUUGACUGUUUCGGAAACCUUUGAAAUUGAUAUUCUUUCGGGAACCUUUGAAAUUGAUAUUAGAAUCCCGACUUCCUGCUCUGCUACGACUAUUCCAUUGAUAUUGGAAUCCCCUUAUCCCUACUUCCUGCUCUGCUACGACUAUUCGGAAGUCUUAAUCAAAGGGGGUAGAGUGAUUUAUUACUACAUUGUUGCCAGUAGCCAGAGGGGUCUCAUAAGAAAGGUUGAGUAGUGACUUUAGCAGCGUUAGCACUUUCUUUCUUUGGCUUGGCAAACAAAACUCGUACACUAGCGCUAUUGCUCGUUGAAAAGAGGCACCCCGGCUUGUUGAAAAGAGGCACCCCGACCGACCCUAUACUCAAAUACUAUAUUAUAGCUAAAGCUUGUUUAUCGGUUUGAACUCCCGUUAGCACAACGUCUUGCUGCCCGGCGCAUCCCGCAACUCAAUAAGAAGUGUGUUUCCUCCCUAGCCGCCUAAUACACCAUUGCUCGUUCACUUGCUUUUGCCGUAGAGAUACCUUAUACUUGACUAGAGAUACCUUCUACUUUACUUGAUUUAUACCCUUGCUUUCGAUCUUAGAACACAGGUUUGCUUCCCAUAAGCGAGUCCAGAUUUGGUUUCUGCAUAGUAUAGACCUAAGUAAAGACAAUGUUUCCCUUUCUUAUGAAUCAGCCGGAACUUUCAUGCUUGGCUUCCCUUUUGCUUCCUUACUUGCUUAGCGAGAUUGCUUCUUUAGAGAUUCAUCUGAAACUGUUCCUUUCUACCCUACCGUACUCCACCAGCUCCUGCGGGACAAUCGGGACAUUCAUAAGCUUACUUCCGAACUAGACUUGAAGAACCGACCCGAAAUGAUUAAGUCGCACCGAACCUAGUAGCACCCAAAGCAAAGAGACGAGUAUUAAGUGCCAAAAACACUCUCCUCUCCUAAAGCUAUAAGAUCAAGAUACCGCCCUGAAGAACUAUGGGUUUGUUAAGGCUAUCAACUACCCCCCCCAUACAUAUCAUCUCGGUGUUGGCUGUAAACCCUGAAAAGUGGCUGCUCUUUCUCGGUUAACUCCCAAACUUUCUUUCUUUCCCGCUUCCUUUAAUUAAUAGUAAGCGCAUUAGGAGCUAUCAGCAUGAGAACUUAGAUUCGGCUGCCUUUCCUUACUCAAAAAGAACGGAAAGAUAAUCCGGCAAAUUGCACUCCAUAAAACCUGCGAGCAAACUGAAGCUUCAAGCAAACUAUAGCGGAAAAGAGGAAAUAGCAACCUGCGCCGAGAUACGAAAUACAAGUAAGCAGUAGAGGUUGGCGCAAAGAGAAGAGGUGUGUGUUGUACUGGAGAGUAAUUGACCCCAUUUCUAAGUCUAAGGCAUUAACUACCACAGUUGGGACUGUCUAAAGUAAAGAAUGGAAUCUACUGUUUCUUGCGCUGAAGAGAGGAGAAGAUCUGAUUUUAUUGCCUGAAAAGAAGAUAGUCUGGAAGAUUGCACGAAGGAAGAAGUAAGCAUUAGUUAGUGAUGAGAAAGCCGUUGCUUGAAGAGAGCAACUUAAAUGUGAGGAAAGCCUAAGUGCUAGCGCGAGCGGGUACCUUAGUGUGGGGAAAGCCUAAAAAGGUGAUAUAUUGACUCAUAGCUUAACACAAGCACCCGAGCCUAGUAACAGACUUCGGGCUGACUCUAUAGUCUCUCGGUCAAUCGGUGGUCUAGUAACUUCAUUAAACAAGUAAGUCAAGGUAAAGCGCCUAUUACUGAUCUAAGAGCAUCCCUUUUGCUAGACUAAACUCGCUAGCUCCCCCACAGAGGAAACUCUACACUCAGGUACCAGUAAAUCCUUUCAUACCUUAACUCCGGACUAGAGCAUCUCAUCUAACUGAAUUGGCCUGUGUUCUACCAGCAAUAAUAGGGUUCCAAAUGAAUUCUUUCUCAUGAUAUUGAGGGUUUGUUCUUAGACUCUAUUCUUUCUUCGGCUGAUGAAACUCUAGGCUCGGCUUCUCGAACAGAAAGAUACUCGUCUCCAACAACUAGAUCGGUUGGGUUGGCCAGAUAAGAGAGGUCGGCCAGGGAACUAGCAUCUGUAUCUGUCUUGGAAUCUAUUUAAGUGCUCAUUAACAUUAAGUCUAGCUCUAAUGAUUUUGUUUAUUCUUUGGAUUUAUUACCUACCUACUGCAUCUGCUUCGUCUGAUACGGAGUCUGAUACUUUGUUUGCUGAUUCAGUUUAUUCACUUGGAGUUGAAUUCAUAGUUUAUAGCUCAGUAAGCAUCCUAUCCCCGGUAGACUUACUUAUUAGUUUGGAUUCCCUUAAGUAUAUAUCUGCAACUUCUCAUACACCUUAGCACAUCUGCUCUUGCGUUAUAACCUAUACUCCUUAUUCCGAGUUUCGAUGUAUAGUCUUAUACUCUUUUCUCUGAUCCUAAUACUUGCUCCUUCCAUUCCACUCUUGCUUGUUAGCUGCCCUUACUUUCGUCUCCUUACUUUACAUACAGGAGAGUUCCAUUCUUCCUUUCGAGUGGGGAGCACCUGGUCCUGUAUAACUAUGACUUUCUAGUGGAAUUCCUACUUCCGAGCAUAGAGCACCCUAAACUAGCUCGUGUACCCGCCCCUAUUCUUCUCGUGUACCUGUGACCAUAUUCUUAUUAAUAUGUAUUUAAUCCAAUCUUUUACUACUUCUUUGGAUUCUGACCACUACAAUUAUUAUUCCUAUAGCACAGUGGGGGUACCCUGACUUAAGGCAAGGAAGUCAGACCGAUAGCCAGGAGAAAGUGAGCCCUAUCAGUAGUCGCGAUAUUUUGGAUUAUAAGGAACAGUAUUGGAAGCCGCGAUUCCAUUCUUAUAUGCCCGUUGUUGUUAGCAGUGGUUUCAUCCUCUUACUACUUCAUUGAAUUCCGCCGUUCUUUUUCUCUUACUAUACUAUUACAACUGCGAGUCUUAUACUAGAGUUCAUCAUCUACGAAUCCAAUAGGGGGGUCUAAGGCUUCAACAGGAGCAUAGGCACUUAAGACAGGCGUUGAAAGAACAAGUCCAAGUUUGCCCUCUAGCAAGUAGGGCUCGGACUACUAGGUUUAGUUCCUUAUUUCCUGGGUGAGAGUUUAGUGUCAUACGCCCCAGUUCAGUUCUCUGCAGUAGUAGCAUUGUUUUUCAUAGAGCUCCCCAAUUUCAUGAACGAACACAAAAUAGUUGAAGCUCCAAAAACCAGGACGGAGUCGUUGAUUUCUUGUUAACAUCAGUAUAAGGUUUCAAAGCUAGUGGAGCAAGAUUCGAGAUCAGCAGCUAGACUAAUGCUAACAAGGGUCGAACUAAGUAAACCAAGCCUAACUCACCAGCAGCCCAGGCCUUAUUGCCUUACUUUCAAACUUCCACUAAUUUCUGAAAGGUUACCAAAAACCCAAUAUAGAGUAUUGCCUUCCUCACUUUGAUUCUGACUUACUUAACUGCCCUCUCGCUACUAACUAUUAGGCUUAGCGCUCUACCCAAACUAACAUGCCUCACUUUUGCUUUACUACCUUUGCUUUAACUCUGUAGUGAGUACUUCUAAUACUUUGUGGAUUUAAACGAUAGCUCUUUUGCGGGUGUGCUCAGUAAACAUAAUUCUGUGAGGUCAACAGCAUUCUUAGAAGUCUCGAUGCUAACUACUACUCAACUAGAGGAAUGAAUCAACUCCGACAGGAAGAGAAUUAAGCCACUACAAAUUGAUAAUUGUACUCAUCCGUAACAGAACUAACCAGCAGAGGCUAGACUUCAACAACAUAGGGAUCAAACAAACUUAGGAGUAUCGGACUUCAAACUCAUAGGACAGGAUCCAAUCCAACAGUGAAGUUCAAGAAAGAAAGUGAGUGGUAUCGGGUCAAGAGAGUUUAUAGUACUAUUGUUACUAGCUUGGUUCUGACUUGACCAAACAGACCUAUAUCUCUACUAUUGGUGUUAGCCCUAUAAUGAAUAGUAUGAGAAAGUAUGAAAAUACGCUAGAGGAUUGGGGUUAGGUUAAGAUGUUAGAUCAGGACCUUAGAUGCGGUGAAGCAAGGUGAUUAUAGGAGUAGUUCAAGUGGGAAGGUAAGGAUAGUCAGAAUAAUCUAUUGUAUAGGAGGAAUCAAAGACAGGAUCCAAUGUCAGUGUUAGAGGAUCAAUCAAUACCCCAGGAAGGUAGCUUUGGCUAAGUAACUACAACUCAAAAGUAAGACUAUUAAGUCAGUUUGAAAGUAGAACAGAACCCCUUGUAGCUGACUUGAUUCUUUUCUUCUCGAGUCGACAACUAAGGUCAACAAUAACCUCUACCCUACGACAAGGAACUAGAGCACCAACCUCUUAUUCUGAUUAUUAGAUGACAGACGCCUCUUCAAAGCACCGAACUCCCACUUGGAUUAUGAUUUGUAAUAUAGAAACUGGAUCUCCUUCCAGCUAUUCUAAUGAUUAUUAUCAUUCUCACUUAUGCAGUAAACCAAUAUACACCAAUGAGUGGGACAACGUAACUUCAUGAUUAAACACAGAAAUCUAGGACCUACACUAGUCACUCGGGAAUCCAACUGUACUACAAUAGAUCGAACUGCAGCUAACAAGAAUAUACACCACUACCGGAUAGAUUUGAUCUUACUAAUAAACAAUUCAACGGGAUUCCAAACACUACUAACAGGACUGUAGCUGCUCUUACUUGACUAGAUAUCAGGCUUAGUGCUCUACUCGUCAUUCUUUAGGGCCUUUAGCUGGAUUCCUCUCGUUCAGAUCCGUCUAUCUCCCUACUGCUUCAUGCUUAACCACUGCUCAUAAGACUAGUGCUUCGAACUUAGAAUUACACUAGUACUUAUAAUACUUAGCUACCUAACUACCAGAAUCGAAAAAGCAACAAACAAUUCCAUAUUAUUAUAAUUAAUGUGAGAAUUAAUGUUUGUAUUAUUAUAUUCUAAGUGAUAAGAGAAUGUUUGAACAAGCCCAUCAAGUAAAGCACCUGCAACUUAUUAUAGAGCCUACCUCUACCUUGAAUUGUAUGAAACUAUUAUAGCACCGGGUGGAUUCCACCUUUCUGAACCGACAACACCACUGUCAACCGCUUCACCUCUCUGACCCGCUUGCAACAUGGAAUUUCUCAUUUAUAUCUCUUGUGUCACACUAAAACGAAACUGAACUCUCAGACCCGGUAACAGGACACUUGUUCUUGCCCGAACGACACUUGAAUUGAAGUCAUAACCGCCUAACCACUGACUUUUUCAUCGUUACUGCUUGCUGUUUACUCUCCAAGGAAUUGCUUCUCUUGGCUACCUCCCCUUUCUCUUAAGCCACUUAGUCUUGCUCCAGUCCUGUUUCGAGCCGAGCCCUAGUAUAUAUAAGGUAAUAUUAUUUAGUUCUAUAUGAUCUCAACUCCGAUACUUAAGCUUAAGCUGAAUAAUUGCAUUUCAUCUCUAUUGCGCCAAUAGGGGUUUGCCAGAACAAAUACUGGAGUUAAGGGUCGGGUUGGUGACUUCUGGUAGUACUUGCUAAGUAUACCUUGCAAUGAAAAAACACGGGAAAACGCACAAAUCUUAUUUCUAUGAACCAAGCUAAGAAGGAAAAGAACGAAGCUAUGAAAAAAGCCGGUAAACUUCCUGCCGCGUAACUAACGUAGUUACUUGGCCGCCUAGAUCGGCUUGGUCGUUAGUAGUUGCUUGGCCGUUCUUACUUUUUCGGCUGCUGUACGGAACACCUGUGAGAGAGGAAGGAUUGAAUCCACUAGUGCCCUUCUGAAAUCGGAAGACUCCGCAGAAUAUGUAGGUACUUAUGGCAGAACGGUCUGGUCUUUCACAAUAAAGUUCUAGAUGGAACUGACAUGAAACGACCUUAUUAGCGGAUUAAUAGAUUAUUUGUUAAUGGCAUAUACAUCACACAUCCUGGAUCAAGGACUUACUCAGCUCUAGGUUUCCAGCAAGCCACUGCUACAUCUAUUUCAUUAGGAAUUGAUUCUCUUUUGACCUUAUAAGGGAUGGCUAGUCCAAGAUGCUGAACAACCCACUUUAUGAAUUGCUUUUAAGCGAGCGAGUGAGUCAAGAUGCGGGAGGACUUAACUGGCUAAGAGGGUAGGAGAAUGAGUUUCCAAAGAAUAUGAAGGGACAGGGAAGCAUCAUUGAGCAAGCUUAGAAAGGUAACAGGCGUAACAAGCUCAAAAGCGAUAGAAGCUUUUUGACGCACACUCACACUAAGAUUGAGAUUCAGGUCGCCCGCCUCCUACUUAUAUUCUGAGGAAGGUAUUAAUCCCUCUCCUUUAAGUUUCAAUUGAAUCGAUCCGAGAACUAGGUUCAAGGGAUAGGUCGGAAGUUACAUCGUGAAAGAGAAAGGGCCAUGAUGGAAAAGGACUUAUUUCUUAUCUGCCUUAUCACUUGGAAAAUCUGACCUUGCUGGCACUUACUAUCUCCGCCUUAACUGAAUGAAAAAGGACUAGACCGAACCUUAGCCUAGGUAGGAAGGCAAGACCUACUAUAUCUUCAAAGAGUCAAGAAGUCAUGAACUCUGGACGGAUCUCUAAAGACUGUAGAGAGUUGAUAUGAAGUCCUAGGUUUGAAUUGGAAAGUGCAGCUGCGAAGAAAUUCCCCUAUCUGACCUAGCUAUGUAUAGAAUCCAUCUCCCAGUCGUAAGAGGUAGCGAGAUUCAUCAAUAAUAAGUCCAUUGGGCUCAAGCUCUCUAUCCGCCGAGUUGCUCAUCUUAAGAACAGCCUUGCCUGGCCAUCUCUCUCGCAAACUACCUUUCUCUAAGCCUCGUCCCAAGCUAGACUCCGCCCAUCUCUUUGAUUUGAUUCUUGUCAUUAUGAUGAAAUAUGAAAUGAGCUCCCCAUCCAAAAUGGCGAAACCUAAGACCGAAGCUAUCAACCAUCUCCCCUAUGCCGAGAUUCUUUGGACCAUGCUGCAUCCGACUUAUGGCGCUCUAUCAGCUAAGGAGGGAGCUAAGGUAGUUGUAUUCGCCUUUGCUGCUCUUAAUGAAAAAGGAGCUGUGGCAUCUCUAUCAGCUAGUUAGCUAGCCGCUCUUUACCUAGUCUUCGCUAGUUUCAUUUUGCUUCUCGGCUUAUUCAUUUCGGACUAGUAGCGGAGUCCCCUGCCUUUUUAGGGAAGAAGGUAAGGUAGUUUCUAUUCAUGCUUGCAUCUCGCCUAUCCUCAGAAGGAGGUAUCUCAUAGGAUCUGACUCACAGUAAGAAGUUACACACUAAUAAGUAAGGAGAUGGGUAUGCCCUUUGUGGUUUUGGAGAACAUCCUCUUAUCGUGAUUGAUUGGUCACUCGAAAUGCAAUAUGACUGAAGACGUAUCUCUGUCGAUCCGUACACACACUGAAAGAAAUCUCGUACGCUAAGCGCUCCUUCCAUGUGGCUAUCUACCGACUGGAUGUCGCCCGCUCUGACUCUUUUCUUGACUCUAAUACGGCUUAAAGGAAUACCUCAACUAUUUGGCAAAGAAUACCUCAACUAUUUGCCGAUACCGAGCUGAGUGAAUGAGCAGCUUUCAAAAGCUGUAGAAAGAUACCAUGUUCCAUGCUCACCUAGAUGUACAAGCAGUCAACCUCUAUUCUCUUUUUUGUAGCUGUGGCAUUCUUGUGAAAGGGGAAAGAGACUACCUAGUGGCAAAAGUACAAACAAUUUACCUCAAUCGCUGGGCUGGGAAUCGAUCAAGUAUUAACUCACCUAUGGGGCGAAACUAAAGAACGCAAAGUUUGGGACUAGGCACGACCCCUCUUCUUUCUUUAUACGAUCGUUUUGAGUUUGACUGAUUCCUUAUGGGGAUUGAGCGUUUUUUUGAAUAUGGUUUUAGCUAUACUAGACUAAAGCCCAGGUUGUCAGAAUCCUAUAUCUUAUAGGCAAGUCAUAUCCGUCGUUCAGCGUUAAGGAAUGAAAGUGAGGAAGCAGCUUUGAAGUCAGUAGCGACAGACCUAUAGUUAGUAGCCAGGGAAUUAGAGAGCUUAGUCGCAGUGUUUGUAACUCAAAAGCAAGAAAGCAAGUAAGUAGCUGAGGAAACAGAGGCAGGAAAGGCAUACUUUAACCAAAGGGUGGAAACAAUAGCAUAGGUCAUUUCGGGCAGUAGCGAAAGUACUAUUUCCUCGGUUGACUCUUUCCGGGAGUGAUUCAAUUCAGUCUUCUUAGGUCGAUUCUUCCUUUUUAGUUUCAGUUCCUCUGUUUUGUAGUGUGAUUGCAGCUCUGCGCCUACUGCUUAUUGUACUGCUGAGUUCCCUAUGCUUAACUACUCUUAGUCUAUUGCUGUAUGUGCUUAGUCUCUCGCUGGAUGCGCUAUGCUCUUAUCAUGAAGAGCCGGGGCAUGGGAUACUAACAACAGUAGAGGAAACAAUCAACAGUAGAGGAAACAAUCGACUUCACACCGGCACCAUAGCUCUCUCGUUCAAUGAGAAUAGAAAUUAUCCUUUGUUCUCAAUAAUAUAUUCUAAUGAGAAAAGAAAGAAUAGCAUUAGCACUGAGGAAACUAUCUCAUAAAGAAGAGAAUUGGUGCUGUGCUGAGGAAACUAUCUCAUAAAGAAGAGAAUUAGCACUGAAGAAACUAUCUUGACAAUAAGAAUAGCGUUGGCACUGCUUACCUAAAAUCUGGCUUUACCUAUAAAGAGAUUGGUGUAAAUGUUACUAUAACAGCACCUAUUUGGGCAACUACAAGUCCAGUGUAUUAGGAGUGAUGAACAAGCCCUGUAAUCCAAUAAAGAAAGACCUGUGUUCGGCAACCAAUACUAGAAAGAAUGGAGACUAUGCCCCGAUAAGCCAGCCUUUCCAGCAAUUGGUCUUCAACUUAUUCAUAGUAAGAAGCGAACAGCUGCUUCUCAUAAUCGAACUACUGGCAAGCAGACUUCAACUAGCACAGGUAGGACUUACUACCUACCUGACAAGACUGCCUCUCCUGCUUUAAAGACCGCUUCCUAUACUGGAUCUUACAAUAAGGAAUCUCAAUACACCGAAAGGGAAUCGAAUCGCGGAUAACAAGCCUUACUUCCUAUCCCCGGACACUCAAACUUUACCUACUACCUUACCCACAACUUGCAUUCGUGGGAGCAUCCAAAGCACCGACUUAUAGCUAUAGCACCUUAUUCUUAUUCCUUUACAUACAGAUAUAGCCUCCGACUUUCCUUUAUCUAAUUCUUAAUACCCUUUCUUUCUAUCCAGGCUAGCACUACUAUCAGCUUGCCCGCACAGGGAGGCCCUUAUCAAUACUGUCAACCAACAACGAACAGGGAGGCGCCCUUAUCAAUACUGUCAACCAACAACGAACAGUUAUUUCUUUUAACAACAACACACGGGUAUUUCUUUUAACAACAACACAAUAAGCCCUUACUGCUUUUCUUUCUUUAAACACCGGGGACAUAACCUGGCUUUCUAUAUAUUAUAUAUGAUUCUGACUACCCUGACUGGAAUUCUUUGACUCAUUGGUACGAUGUAGUGUAGCGCAUCUUGUAAUAGAAUAAUUGUAUAAGGAACUGUAGAGCGAGAACAAAACCUAGCUGUAAAGAAGAAAGGUACGAUCCAAAGCGCAUCCUGUAUAGAUAUAGAUUAGGGUACGAUCUAGUGCACCUAGCUACUAACCUUAACUUAAUAAGUCACAACCAAAACUGGAAUUCGCUACUUUCUAAUGAGGCUUUACCUAGAGAGUAAGAAAUCAACUAGGCCAAGUAACGACUAACUAUAAGAAGAACCCUUGCAAUAAAGAGGAACUACCCGCCUAACAACACAUCGAAAAUGUCCACAUAGAAUAGAAAAAGUGACUCUAUGACUUAAGCUUUAAUGCCUUAUUCCUUUUUCUUAUCUUACUUAUUAAUGAUUGUAGCCCGAGCCUUACUAUACUUUAUGGAAUUCUUUUCAUACAGCUUAUGAUCGUUACUUGCUAGAUUGAGUAUACCUAUUAUUAUCUUUGUGUUCGGAGUCUUACCUUCCUCUCACUUUACUUACCUAGAACCUUGCUCGUGAGACCCAACCUGCUACUCAUUCCUUGAACCCGCUCUCGAACUCUGACUACUCGGACAGCACAUAUGGAUUUGUAUCUCCCUAUACUCCAUAAAGCCUUACUGGCUCAUUUAAAACAAACACUACAGCUUUUCUUUCUUGAAACUCAAAAGGGAUCUUUGCUUUGAAGCUGGCACUGCUACUUAUUAGAAUUGAAACACUAUCUAACAAGCUAUAACUAAUGCUUAUAAUACUUCAACAGGCAAAUAGUAAUGAAACUCACAACAGGGAAUCGAACGACUAUUCUCAGAAUUGAAACACUACCUUCUAAGCUUGACUCCCAUAAUAAGGGUCGAUGUAAUUGAGCCGCUACUUAAUAAGCUUGACUAUCAGAAUAAGGAAGCCCACGACGAAGACUAUCCGAAUUGCACUCGAUAUCCCCUAUUCUUAGUAUGGAGCUCCUUGCUCUCAUUCUGAAAACGGACUACUAUUAGUCUUAUACCGGGUUCAUAGGCUUCUACCGAUAAGCACAAUUGCGUAUCCGUGCGCCACUAGCCAUUCUUUGACUACUCAAUUCCCGAACACAGUAAUAAAUAAGAGAGGUCAAUAGAAUAGGAGUAAAUAGAGAAGUAAUGUAAUAUGGAUAAAGUCAAUAUCAUAGAAACAGAAAAAAGUCUCAUAUAGAAAUUGGAGAAUCAGAGGUAUAACUUGCUAACGGAGCUCUUUCCACUGUAUUGCUUCAAGUAGAGGUCGACAAGGGAAUAUGUUAGGUCAAGUGGUGCAAGAGAGAUUCCAUAAGUGAUAUUUCAUUCUAGACUCAGGGAGCAGAAAAGGACAAAGGUCUUCUUUGAGUAGGAAGUGGCCAAGGGCGGGCUAGUGUUAUAAGCUGUAUUAUACUCCUACAUUGGGUCUAAGUCGAAUAAGAAGAACAAGCAGGAACUCUACAUUCCAUUGGUUAGUUACCCCUAUCUAUAGCAGUCACUUGUGUUUUACUUUACUUCAUUCAGACAGUCUGUCCAGUCCAAACAAGAACAAGUGUACUAAAGGGAGUUCAUUCUUUUCGAACAAGUGCACUAGAGUGGAGAAGAGAGGUUGAGUUUAUUCCCCUGUGCGCCAGACUGGUUAGGUUCAUGUACGACGUUUCCCUUGCUUACUCUCUUAUAGUCAAGAAUAUGGGCACCGGCACCCUAGAAAGGUAAGCUAAUGCACCCCGCUCCGCUUAAGUCAGUUUCUGUUAGUUCUGUGAAUGGAGUGUACCUAUGAACAGCGCGAAGAUGAUAGGCGUCAAUGCAUUUGUGCAGCUUUUCUUAGUUUCAAUGAUCUAUUUGCCAUUAGCGGCCCUACCGCGCUUUUAGCUCACUUUAGCUAGAAAUUAGGACUCAAUUGAAUGGGAUUUUAGUACGACAUAUCAGAAUGGAAUUUAGGAGCACUUAGGUGGGUAGCAUUCUUUAUUUGGAGUUGGAUUCUUACCUAAAAAACAGGACUUGGUAAUGUAGUUGCUUGGCCCUUCCUUCCCUAUGAGAGACGGGUAGUUAACAGGCUAUACACGACGUUCAAGACAAGAAGCCUUCUUCAGCCAACACCGAGUAGUUUCACUAAUUAAUACAUGGAGUUCUGCACACAUGAUGAAGUUUCUAGUGUUGUCCUUCCUUUCUUGGAGUUCCUGUUUUCGUAUUGGUGUUAGCUUACUUUGUUGUCCGUUAGCGAGUUCCACUUGUUUGUAUGCCGUGCACCUAUAAAGUAAUUGGACGUGCACCUUUAAUGUAAUUGAUUAACCUGACUGCCUUAUUUGCCCACUAAACAGGAUAGGGAAGGAAUUGAGUAUAAGUUGUUUCGGGUGCCUAUAGGACUGUAGUCAAUUAAUGACCCUGGGUUGUUGUAUUCGAUGUGGAUCAUAGUCAAGCCCUACAAUAGCAAUCAGGCCUAGUUCAGAUCUCCAACCGGGAAGGCGGGGGCCUGUCUCGGUCUCCUUCAGCGUCAACCCAUCAGGGAUUGGGAAGUGACUAAUAAAUUAGAGAAAAGUGCCGAUAGUUGUCAAUGAAUGUCCCCCUAACUGAAACUUAUAUGCGCACCUCCUAUUCAAGCUCUUGAAACAAAGGAAAGCAUGGAUAGAAAGAAUGACAGAUUCGUUGAGCAGGUAAGCGGGGAAGUCAUUCCGAAAGUCAUUUAGGUCCCAAUAGCUAUUGUACAGGAUUCGGGGAAAUCAUCAAUUGGAUAAGGGUGCCUCGAUAUGCCUAUAGGGUAAGAGUAAAGACCCCAUGUACAACUAGAAAGACGGUUGGUUGAGACCUACCUGGGCAUAUAUCUCUUAGUAAAGGUUAAUUCCAUUCCGGGAUAGAAUCUAAUAAGAGAGAGAAGUCUAUUGAGCUAGUCCACCAAGCGUAUACUAGACAAGAAGAAUCAAUUCCUUCUUAUGCUCCUGGUCCUGUUGCUGGUUUCAUUGAAUUUGCGGAUUCUGCUUCGAGACGAGGAGCUUCUUCUCUAACUACCCGUGCUGUACCUUCUUAUGAGUUUAAGUGAACGCCUGAUAGAGAGUCAACAACACCGAGAUACUGUUUCCUUCUUAUGAAACUGAUCCCGCUUAUGGAACGGAAUACUACAACUUUGUUUGAGCUCCAGUGGGACAAGAAGUGGAGUUACCAAACCGAACCUCACCGAACAAGCAAGUUAAGUGGUAGAUAACCAGAAGCAAGGGUAAUAAUGAAGUUCAACAAGUAUGGGUCGGGCGCUAAGAGAAGAGGCAUCGAAAAGAGGUUGAUCGAGGGAUCAGUCAUUUCUGUUUAUGUUAGAAAUGGAAGUUUCGUUCUUGGCUUUCUAGAGUCGGGUGCUAAGGUAAGAGAAUUGGCUGUUGAAACAGAAGAUACAGAAGAUGUAUUGUUCCCCGAAACUAAACACUAAGUCAAAUGGAACUGCUCCUAAUACUAAGCUAAGUCAGAGAAUUACCCAGGAAUAUGAAACAACACUUAUAUAAAAAGGUUAUGGAAAGCAAUAAGUGAGUUUUGAAGCAAAGCGAAAUAGUAGUCAUAUGUCCGCUCUUAGCUCUUAUAUCAAAUUCUCAGAAUAUUGGAUUUUCUUAUAUUCUUCACUAUGUAUGUAAGAGUGUUUUAUAUUUGAAUAGUAAUGUUACUGCAGACGUUGCACUUGCUGGAGGACAUAGGCAAGAAGCACCGUGCAUAGAAUUCAAAUAAUCUACAACCGCACUGCUUUCCUUAGUAGCAUCAUAAUUAGAGCUUUCCUUAGUAGCAUCAUAUGGCUCUGCUACACCUAUUACUGCUGGCUUUAAGAACGAAUGAAUAGGCGCACCCCUUGAAAGAAAGUCAAAGAAUACUAGAAUAUCGGCACUCAACUUUAGGAACUCAGCUAGGCAUCCCAACGCUAGACUUGCUUGCUGGAAGGACAGAAGCGGAGGGAGUAAGGUACCCUAAAUAAAGGACAGAGAAAUAGGAAUGGAAUAAAGGACAGAGACAUAGGAAUGGAAUAAAGGACAGAGACAUAGGCAACAGAGCACAGCUUAGUAAGGGACAUAGGCAGCCGAACCUUUCACAAACCUUUAACUAGACUUGAAAAGGUAGAGGCCCCCUUUACAGUUUUUCAGAAUGACUCCUUUUCUUUCGCCGUUACUUCUUCUUUCGACGUUGCUUGUUCCAUUGCUUGUUCAUGUUCUUUCUGUAGCUUCUUAUAGUUCAGUUGUCGUUGUGCUUACGUUUGUUGUGCAAAGGACGCUUCUGAUCAAUAGGAAUCUGCUUCCUCCAUUCAUUUUACAAGGACGAACUCUCAGGGUAGGUGCGUUCACUUGUUUGCUAGUUAACCUUGCUUGGUCUCCGGACUCCUUACUCUGAGGCAGAGACACCGUUAUCCAUACUUACUCAUUGGGGAGAGAAUGAGAAAGAAUUCAUUCUAGUAGGCGUAGGGGAGCUUACGGGCCAAAAGUCACUAGUCCCUAAACCCACAGCAUUGCUUUGCUUUUGAUUCCUUUACAGUAUAGAAGAGAAGGCAGGAGAGGAGAUUAUGAUGCUAUAUAUCAGUGUCCGAAAUUAGAGAACAAGCUAUCAGUAGAAGAAAGCAAAAGAAAGAAUAGAUGUCCAAUAUUUACGACUAGUUAAAAGGUAGGGGCUCGGCUCCUCAUGCGAGUAAAGCACUUACUCACUCCUUUGACUCUAUUGUUGGCUUAGCGUUGCCGAACGAGAAGACAGGAAAUUAUCUAAAGAAGAAGUUGUGCUCACAACCGUUGGCUCCUUGGACAGCUGGGACGGAUACAGGCUUGCCCGAUUAUCCGUACUCCUCGUGUCAAAGAUCCCGAUUCGCUAGACUAUUGAUGAAUGUGCUCUCUCACUAUGUUGAAUCCGAUUGAGCUCUUUUGAAAGAGCAGGGAGAACGACCAGAGAUUGGCUCUUAUCUCGAAAGCAAGGGCGGGAGCGUAAGCUGUGAGAUGAACCAAAGCAUCAUAGCAUGAGACAUUACAAGUAGAGGGGAGGCCGGAUGACUCGACCUUAGCCCUCGUCCAAAACCUAGCAAACAGACCGUUGUGAACCAGCGGCAAGAGAUGACAGAAAAGCAGAAGGAUAGCUGACCCGAAUAAGCUGGAAAAGUAUAAGUACGAAUAGAAGCAGCUGGUCAAGUGGAAUGGACUCCCAUCCCAAAGUUGGAAACUCAGCACUAGGGAGAAAGAGGGGGCGUCCCCAUUCAGGGUCAAUCUUCCUUCAAAUGCUUUCGAUAUUUGAGCCGUGUAAAUGUCCUUUCGGGGGGGAAUUGCCUGGGAUAAGUUAAAGUUAAGCCAGUCUACCCUUUCUCCAUUCGAUUAGAUGCGCUAUCCGGUCCAGUCCAGCGGCAUUUCAGGAGUUUCUUCAUUUCUUUGGGGACAAUAUAGACUUCCUUUUCUCUCGAUUCUCGGAUGUGGCCAAGGGGGGGAACUAGCAAGCGAAGCAAGAAGGAAAGAUGGGGGUUCAGUUCACGUAAAUCCUAACGCGCUUAAUAGAUUUCGCUUCUUCGGUCAAAUCUAAAGUUAGCGGGAAAGAAAGGGAGUAUUAGCAAGCAAUACAAUAAGAUAAGGGAGCCCAUAAAUAGGUAAUCAUAAUAUCUUAUAAAUAAGUCAUCAUAAUAUCUUAUUCAUCUGUGCGAUGCAAUAGAAUCAUAAGAGUUGCGGCUCUAAGUGCUCUUAAAUUACUAGAUGAUAUGUAUGCACAUCCGUUUCAUUAAUCUUUCUGUUUUACUUUCCUCUUCCUCGGCGCAAGAAAUCCAGCAAGUACCAUAGCUUAGAGUUAGGCAAAUAAGUCACCUCACGUCACGGCUGAUGCAAGUAUUAUUAAAGGAAGCAGUUGGGCGUGCUAACGUUAGUAUACCGAUCUUAUUAAAGGAAGGAAGUCGUUGGGCGUGUGAUAGUUUUUGUAGUCAUAGGUGUUUUGCUCAUCUAUUAUAUUAGUUGUGUUUGUCAUUCUUUUCUUCAAUGAAACAAGUAGUUGUGCUUUCCAUUCUUUCUUUCGAGAUUCGGUGUUUUGGAGUAAGGCUUCUAUUCAAGGGGUGAGUCAAGUCAAUAGGGUAGAAAGUCAUAAGGAUAAAGAGGGUGUUUUAAAGAAGUCAAGUCAAAAAGGUAGAAGGCUGGAACCUUACCUGCUGGCUGGCUCUGGCUCUGCUCUAUCUGCUUACUGAAACUCACUUAUGGAAUGAAAGUAAGCGGGAAAGAAAUCGGGGUUAAGGGAAUCAUAUCUUACUGGUGAAGUUUUGAAGCUCUGCUCUACUCCGUUAUCGCAACAGUCACUCACUGGCGCACAAGUCAAAGCAAGGAUAGCAAUGCAAGUCUCAAGUCUGGUAGAUGCUCGUAGAUGCUCCAUCCAGAAAGGGCAAGUCCGGUUUGUUUUGAUACCACCAAGCAACAUAGUACAAAGGGCCAAGCAACGACUAACCAAGCAACGUUGUAAGUAGCGCAGCGAGUUAUGAGCAAAGCAAGUCCUGUUGCGGAUUUCUAGCUUGCUGCUGAAGAAGGAAUUUCUUCUUACCGGAACUCUGACUCUUACACUGUCCUCAGACUUAAUUGAAUCUGGCCUGAACUAUGACUCGGAGCUUGAAGUUAAGGAAUCGAUUGUUCCUAAUUACUAUACUGCUGAUUCUUGAGUCGACUCCACUCGAACUUUACUUUCUUUCCUUCCUGCCUCAAAGAAGCCAGUCAUUUAUUAUCGAGCACAAAGUAUAGAAAGAAAUAUGUUACCUUGCUCCCUCGCCUUAUCCAUCUUAUUCUCUGGUAGACUUUCCUUGCAACCCAUCUUUCGAGCACACAAGCACUUCCUGAGGGCUUUCAAGUAAGGGGCACAUUAAGUAUAUAGCUUUUUCGUUGUUUAAGCGAUGGGUAAAUCUGCUAAUGGGAAAUAAAUGACCUAUGUUGCCCCACUAGAAGCUCUUUGAAAGCAUAUUUCACUAUGAAGAUAGCCCUCCCCUGUGCUCGUCGUCAACACAAUCCACUCUCCUUUUUGACUAAUAUGUAAGGGAAACACCUUACUUUAGAACUGUUGAUGAUCUUGUCGACUUUCAUUUACCUCUUCCUCUCGUUCGUAACAAAACCACUGAAAUUACUGCUUCUUUAUUAUACUUAACCUUGAUAUUGAACUCGCACUCAGUAUAGGAUUACUUGCGCACUGCUUCUUAUCUAACCACAAAAGUCAGAAUGGAACUGAACCCGGAGAAACAGAGUCAUUCUCCAUGAUAGGGGUCUAUCUAAUAGAAUAAGUCACUAACCGGCGGGCUCUUAUUCUCGCCAACCAAGCCUAGUGCUCCUUCUUGCCCAACCCUCUCUCUUUUUCUUUCUUGCCGUAUAUAAAAGACGAAUAUUGUUAGUAAUCUGACACUUACCUCGAUUCUAUUAUACCUUAUGGCUGCUGACUUAAGCUAUGAAGAAGCACCCAAAGAUACUGGCAAUACUGAACUUAUAAGAUACUGGCAAUACUGAACUUAACGCUUCAGAAGGAAUUGAUGAAUCAGCUUUCUAAUUAGUAGGAACAGGAUCUCCGUAAGCUGAUACGAAAUCCAUACUUGUUCCGGCGCAAAGUAUACAAGUACGGUUGACUUUGUGUUGUCUACUAGUGGAGUUAGAGUCGAAUCGACAAGAGAAGAGAAUCCUAAUUAUCAGUGCAAAAGUCGGGUGUUGAAGCGCUAAAUGGUCCAGUCCAAGUCCAAGUAUUAAUAAAGGUGUAAGAAGGUAAGCCUUCUGAGGCAGUGUUGUCUCCAAUAAAAGCCUAUAUAUAUCUAUAGUUUGUUCAAGCCUUAAGAGAAACUACAGGAUCCGAGGCAGUGAUAGGAAAUUCCGUAUCUGUAUCAAAGUAAGGGUCAGCAUCGGAAGCAGUAUAAAGAAAAGAAGCAGUGUUGUCUCCAGGAAAGUAUCCAAGAGAAGAGGCCAUUGACGUAGAGGUUCGAAUGUAGUCUACGAGAUCAUAAGAAGGAGCGGGAGAACAUGAUUUGAAGCUUCAGAUUGAAAGUCCGUAAGUAUACGAUAGAAUCCGCCGUUAAGUAAGCGGUAAGCGAGGCAGGAAGGAAUGUUUAGUUCUCAUCGCUACUAAGCACUUUUCGAAACUGUGCCCUAAGGAUCAGAAAAAGUGUUUUAAUAAGCGCCCUAAGGAUCUGAAGUAGUUUCAUAAGCUCGCUCCUCAACGCUAGAAAAAAGCACUUGCACAUGGCAGCUGCCUAACGCCGAUGAACAAAGGACGAAGCAAUAGUACCCAGAUAAAGCAGAAACUGGAUCAGGUAAGUAAGCAUAAGCUGUGAAUAAGGCCCAAUACCAAGAUAAAGUAAGUCAGCUGCAAUUCUUUACGAGAGAGGUGAUUCUUCUGCGCUCAAAUCUUGGCCGGCUCUGCUUGUUAGAUAGAAGAGAGAAAUCUUAUAUGCUUGACCUUGACGGCGCUGCAAUCAAGUGAAAUUAUUUAUUGACUUUCUAUUUGUGCAAAAAAGAUGAAAUUAGAUAGUGGAGUUUGCCAGAGCAAGAACCAGAAAAAUAGCAAGCGGGUAAUCUUCACUGACAAAGAAAAGAAGCAAGUAUUGUAUAGAAGCGGGGUAAUCAGUCAGAGUAAGAGAUGGAUUCCAUUCAGAAUUAGGACAGUACUUGUCCAGGCCCAACAGAAGAAUAAGUGGAAAGAAGCGAGCCCUACCCUAGUAAAGAAGCUGGAUCCAAAGCUAUAGAUAGAUCUGUUGCCGAAGCCUAAAGCUGUAGAAAGAUCAGUUGCCGAAGCCGAAUCUCCUAAUUGUGUUUUUGUUCGCCUACGCCUAGUUCGAGGUAAGGAGUAGAGAUCAAUUGACUCCGCCCAAGAAACUAGUCCAGUGCUCUAGAUAUUUCAUUGAAUUAUGAACUUCCACUUCAAGGAUAGGCGAGGUCGGCGAAAGAAGAAGUGGUUUCCAGAUCUUAUGCAGGUAAAGAAUCGGGAAAGUAUCCAACAUCCGUUAUUGGCUACGCUGUGCUAGUUUAAGUUUAGUAUAUACUAUAAUAUGGUAAAGAAUUCUUAAGAAAAUACAGGUGGCGUUGAAGCGAGAAGAGGAGUUGUAGUUUCAGUCUCAUAAGGCUUUAGCGCGUAUUAGUUGACUCGGGUGCGGUUCGAAAGUAAGCCGAUUCUCAAAGUAGAGUUUCAGUAUGAGGGUAAUAAGCAGAAGAUAAGAAUGAGCUAGGCAUGAAAGAAAGAAAAAGGUCACACUUAAUACCCGCCCUGAUCUUGCUUGCUUAACCUAGCCACUAGCUUCACCUUUGUUCACCUCUUACUUAACUAAAUCCUUAGCUUUAUCCAUCUGCCACUGUGUUCAUAUUAGUUCCAGUUUACUAGUAGAAAUAUAUGUUGAAGGACAUCAACGGUGAUAAAGCCAGUUGGGUACCCGGGGUCUCGAAGGUCACUUUGACACUUUCCUUUCCUUUCCGGGCAAAGCACCAAAAUGUUCAAGUGCAAUCCAAGUCUCUUAAGACGAAACCUGAUGAAGCAGCUGACGCUUACUGAAUCAACCGCUGAAGAGAAGCAACAUAAGGUUUUUCUCAGUCAUUAACUUUGGAUUGGAUUCGCUCACAACCUUUGAAAAGGUGCGUGCUUCCACCACCGAAAAGGAAUUCCGCCUCUACAAUGCUCCAACGACUCAAAGUAAUCAACUUUCUCCAACUAUUUGGCAUAUGAGAGAGAAGCGGGAGCGAAGUGAGGGGAGUAGAACUGAGUGAGGCAGAGAGAAGUGAGGGGAAGCAAGAUCCGGGAGGCGCUGGGAUGGGAGGUGAAGACACACUAAAGGCUAAAGGAGGCGAACGAUGGGAGGCAGUUAAUGAGGGAAAGAAUCAAACAACAUAUGAGAUAAGUAAGAAUACAGAGUGCCUUUUCUUCCUUUCAAAGAGAGCACCAAUGGUGUGCUAUGCUCAUACGGAGCGUGUGGCCUUCCUUCGAUGCAGAUAUAGUCCAAGACACAUUGGCGAUCCGCGAGGCCGAACUACCUGAUGGAACGCAGGCCACCACAAAAGUGCAACUAAUCAAACAGUGAAUAUAAGACCUAUGACACCGCGUUUUCACGGUUUAUCCUUAAGAGAUGAGGACUACUUACUUUACUGGUGAGAAUUUGGAAGUCAAGAAUAUGAGUCCUAACCACUCACCUGUUUAUCCCGACUUUGCUUUCGCUCCCUUUUCUACACAAUCUCUUGCUGUCUUUUCUCAGAGAACGGGUUUUUCGACUUUGUUUCUCCGAUGAGUUUCUAGUCUGUCUUAUGUUUAGUGUUUUCUUUCAUGUGAUACUUUGCCUUACGAACUAGGGCUGAGCCCGUUCCUCAAGCUUAAGAGCAACGAGAAUACAGCUUUUUCAAGGCACGGCACUCCACUCUGAAACCGGCAAGUUUUUCCUUCCUUAUCCUUAUAAGUGUUGUGUUCGGCCUAUUGAUUGACACUGGCACGACUGGAAUAAUAGUCAAACUCUGGUUUCACCCUAUAGGCAGUUUAGGUUCGACGCUUUGAUCCCGGCCGUGGAAGGUCCCAUGGUAUGAGGAUCGGACGGGGAAGUCGGAGGGAGGUCGGUCUCUCGACCCCGCUUUCGUGUCCUGAGUAAUGAAAUCAAGUUUCUGAUUGGAUAUUGGUUAGAAGUCUGAUUGAUUUAUAGGACUAUUCAUAUGUGGAGUAGUGAGCCGAUCCCGCUUUUCUUGGUUAUAAGUCUUUAACCCCUUAGCACUUACCUUCCCAAACAACCCUAGCAGCCUAUCCCUUUAUCAUUCGAAACAGGAGAUUCCCUUGACUUUAAGGGAGGUAUUUCUCUAUAAGGAAGGCCAUUCUUUCUCCCGAUCUCCUACGUAUGGUAUUGGGGCGGGCAAGUUGAGCCUUUCUUCUCUUAAGGGUAAGGAGCUAUGUACCAGUGCCUUCCCGUAAUUGAUGGAGGCUUACGAAGGAAGGAACCAACAGAGGGAGGACGUUGAGUAGAUUACCAAUUACAUCCUAAGAGAGAGAACAAUUGAACAAAGCCUUAGAAGAAGAUCCAAAAAACCCAUCCAUCCUACGCUCUUUCCGGCAAAUGUGCUGCCCCACCUUUCCCUCACUAGAUUCCUUUCUUUGAUUGACCAUUACCGUUGAAUAAAUCCUUUGACUUCUACCAGGAUGCAAAAUGGCUGCAAGUGGAUCUUCAAUUCAAAAGCUAAGAGGUUUCGUUGAAGACUUAUUGUGGGGCACCACCUCUACUCUCCCCUACCUAAAGAGGCCGAUAGGCAGCAUUCACUAACGUAAGGCCUGCGCUAAUUGGCAAAAGUCAGACUUCAUAACUAUAAGAUUCAGAAAAGACCCGCCACGCACGGCAUUUAUUUAGGCCUAUACUGCCAACUGGAAUUUCUAUAAAUAAAUGAAGUAGAUCCGCUAACUUAGAGAAAUGAAAGUGAGAUGAAUGAAGACCUUUUUGAUUAUCCUUUAUUAUUAGGAAGAAAGGCCAAUGCCCCAACCCAAGAGACUCCCGGAUACUAAGAACCUAGCCCGAGAAAAGCAUCUUGAUUUCUAAGAAUCGUGAGAAAAGACAUGUCCCAAUAGACCCUACAACUUCGAUUGGUUGAAAGUGAAAAAACGAAGUAAGGCACUCGAGGAACCCUUUCAAAUCAAAGGUCAGAAGCCUAAAAACGUUGUAGGUUGAUUGGCCAGCAUUGGCAUUAGCUUCGGGAUUGAACUUACACUUCCGGGUGAAUUGACAAAAUCGAAACCCAAGUAGAAGGAACUUUAGGGGACCCAUCCUCUAGGAGUUUCUCGAGUCUCCGCCACCAACACCAAGAAGCGGAAUUAAUCCGGGUGCUGCCCUCACACUCAAUCUCCAUACAUUGCUGUCGGUAUGGUAGAAUAUAAGAAGCGACACACAGCCCAUUCUCACUUUAAUAGAAGCUUAGUCUCUUGCGAUUCCGCUUAUUUUUGAAGAAGACGAUUUCCCACCAUAUGAAGAAUGUCCGACAGUGAAUACUUGGCCCAAAUUGACUAUAUGGCGUGAGUUUGAAGAUGAUUUGAAGCUUCUUAUUGACAGCGAAAGCCUUCUUAGUUGCGGCGAACCAAACACAUCUCCUCGCUGAGGGAAGGACAGAUAUCGCAAAAAGACAAGAUACUCUUUCAAAAGUCCUACUAAAAUAGACUCGACUACUAAUAUGUUCAAAGUAUCAAAAUAGACUCGACUACUCAAGCUGCUUUAUUGUUUCCCCAUCCUGGCAUGCUAUCCUUUAUGUUCAUUUUCGUAUUAAAGUAAUAUGUUUAAGUAUGAAGGGGCUGCUCUACAAAAGGGUCAAAGAGGUCUUUGGGAAUUGGCAUUAUAAGUUCAUUGCAAGGGUCAUAGCAUGGGUUCACCUAUUGUAGUGGUUCUUUCGGCACUUCCAGUCAGGGCCUGUUCACCAUUCCAAGCAAGCCACACAUCCGCUCAUUAACAAUUGGUAUACGUUCUCUAUCUUACGGGUGUAUUAGAAUCAAUUUGUUCCGUAAGGGCUCUAUUCUCUGUUCGUUACAUUGGCAAGGGCAUUCCGUUUUCCUCUUGCUCUCCGCUCUGUGGGCUUGAACUUGGCUCAGUCCAGUACACAUCAUAACAAAGCAGAACCUCCGUAUCAAUAGAAGGAACAAAGGCAGUUCCAUAUCGAAAUCGAUAGCCGGGGAAGGGUACGAUAAGUAAUCAUAUAUAGGACCAUGCCCAGCAGCAUCACCCAACGUCGAAGAAGAAGUGAAGUGACUCCUAGCUCGAUGCCAAGUUUGACUAUCGUCUCUGGUAAUAUGCAUAGGUAAUGAGUGAAAGCACUCAAUCUAGGCCAUGAUAAAGCAGGCGCAAUCUACCAACCAAGUAGACCCACGGAGCGGUAGUAUUGGGACGAAGAAAUCCCAUGUCCGUGUAAACAACCCUUAGUGAACCGAUAGGUGGGAGCAGAGCAACCUUGGAUCGUUAAGCUCUAGAUAAUGAUAAACGAGAGUAGUUAAGGAGUGUGGAGCUUCGGGCUCAGGGAGCACCUGGUGCUUGUUUAUUAAAGAUGAAUCGGACAAGCAAGGGAAGUCAAAGCAGAAGAUAGAUCAGAUGAUCUUUCAGCGGUCCCCGGCCGUAAGUAUCAUGUCCCCGCGUCUCAGCAUCUAGAAUAAUAGAUAGUCAUCCGUUUUACUUGAUAGCGAGACUAAGAGGAUUCCCGCCUGGAACAAAGUAGCUCUGCCCGGGGCCGAUCGAAUCCUAUUUAUAUCUUAAUGUUCUGAGUGCUGCACCUCUGCAUCGAAUUCACUCGAUAGCGACUCAGUGGAAGGCCCGAUCGUGGCAACUUGGCAGCUCCUCGGGUGCAAAUUGCCUAGUGUCUUGUCGUCUUGUCUACUUGGCCCAUAAGUUGGAAAGUGUGAAGUAAACCCUAAACUAAGUAAAGUCAACCCGAAACUCAGAAUGAAAUUGAAGUCGACGCAUUAAGGUUCAGGCUUCAGCAACAAGACCUUUUCACUCGAUGAAAGGGUACUGGAAGGAAGCACUUCGUGUUCAAGUUGCUCUUUUCGUACACUCAUAAAAGAAUUCAAACCAGAUUGCUCACGCCAGUGGAAUUACCGUUCCAACGAACCCUGAAGAGUUUCUCAAUUCAGAAAAGACCUUUCAAUCAACAGCUGGAAUUAAUGCUGCCCUGGGUAGUAGGUCGGGUGUCAAGCCUUCAAAAGUAUGCUAGAUAGAACAGGAGCUUCCUUCUUUGAGCGGUUCUCGGGUUUGGUAGGAAUCACAGGAAAUAGCUAUAGAAAACACUAACGAUAAAAGCGUGAAGAGAAUAGCAUGAUGAGUUGACUAUUCCAUUUCGGCAUCCCUUGACUUGCACCGAGCUAUGUUGUUCAAGGGUUGUGGUUAUGGUAAGUACUUACUAUUUUAGACUACUUUAUUUAAGAUUCAUAUGCUUAUUUUAGACUACUUUAUUUAAGAUUCAUAUGCUUUCGUAGUCAGAGGGUAAAGGCAGAAAAGUCGCAGACCAAAUCAAUCCGAGCCCCCACGGUUAUGCAGAGCAACCCUAUUAUUGUGCUACAACUGCACAAGCAUUCAAUCAUAAGGACUUGCGACACAUUCCAAGACUCAGAUACCUAAACAAUGUUACGGACUAAGCAAAGAUAGGAAGAAAGUGAGACGAUUCCAAUUCCUUUGAGUAUAGAAAUGGACCUUAUACCCCAAAUAAAGCGAUAGGAAAAGUGCUCUUUCUCUCUCUUUUCUAUUUUCUCUUGACGUAGGGGCAGUCAGGUUGUCUGCUUUAUUGCCCCUGGAAGUGGAAUGUCUUGCGGGUCAUCUUGCAUCUUACAAGUAGAUUGAAUCUAUGCCUACUCCUACGGAUAAACGGAAUCCGUGUUUCACUUGGCUUGAAUCGUCUUUCCUUUCCAAGGCAAUUGAAUGGGCUUUCGAAUCUCCUGUUAGUAAAUUCCCACUCGAAACCUUUAGAAUAGUUGGUGUCCCGCAAAUGGAGAAGGAGGCCUAUCGAAGGAACUUUACUAGGUUAAGGUAGGUUCCGUGCCCCCACUGUAAUGAAGAAUAAGGAGUUCUUAGACUAGCUCUGGCUUUAUGACUGCUUUCCUUAAUAGCCAAUCCCGUGCCCAACUCUUGGGUAGAAGCUAACCCCCAUCGCGAUUUUGGAACUAACACAACAUCCUUAAUCGAAUGGCGCCACUGAGGAAAGCAAUACCAAUAGCAACAAGCGUAUGGAAACCUCUUGCGGAAACGGUAAGGGUUCAACGUGGCUUACUCUAUCUAUGCGUGGGAACCCAUUAGGUUACAAAUUGGCACUUUCUUUUUGACCAUGCCAAUGACGCGACAUACGGGGGAGGUUAUUUGGCAACAGAGAUGUGCCUCAUCUCACUAAAGGGUAGAGGAGAGAUAGAAUGAUUCAAUGUGUCCAGAGAGUCCGAACUUUACAGGAGGAGUAAAAACAUUCCUUCAAGCUUCGUCAGGCAAGUAACGUUCUAGUAUCCGUGAUAAUAGGUGUGUCUAGCCUUAACUCUCAAGCUAGUGAAGAAGUAAUCUUAUACGAAGCCAGAAUUCUCUGUUAUCGCUAUUUGCUAAUCAUAGGCUCUUCUUCUAAUCAUAGGCUCUUCCUUCCUCUUUAUCGAAUCAACCGUAUAGCUAGGAUUGUAAAGAAAGAAAGAGGGGGAAUUGCCACUAGGUGGGAGAAGAGAAUAGGCUCGCUUUAGACGGUCUUGGCUGUAGGUUGCUAGAAUGCCUUGUUAAAGAAUCCAAUGUGCCACUUGAAGAAUAGAAUCCACUCUUUUAGGCCCCAACGCUCUUUUCCGGUGCAGCUGAAUGCCCUUAAUCAUAAGCAAGUCUGGGGGGCUCGGCUCUUGCUAUUGCUUUCUAUGCGUUGUUUGCAAUUCAAUCAGUAAUCGCUACCUAUUUGCCGUGCUAGUGUUUUAUGUUCUCGUUUACCUUGUUCUACUAUCAUCUUCGGCAUAACCUCUAUUGCCUACUACAAACUACAAAGAGCUCAGUCCUAUUCAUUUCUUAAGGCAUUUUCCCACUAUAAAGAAAAGAGACAAGGGCCUUUCGUCAGCCUACGAUCUCUAUUGAAGAAGACAAUGGGUUAGACUGCUUAAGCAAGAGCGAAAUUAGUUGGAGAGGAAAGGAAGCAGCUAUCUUGUAUCUAGGAAGAAAGAUCCGCCAUUCGGUCUACCCCGAGAUCGAUAGAAUGGAAAGGUUACCAGCCCAGUAAGAAGGAAAGGCAAGCAGGGCAGAAGGAAAGGAAGGACCCUAUAAAGCAACUCCAUAGGGAUCCUAAAACUAUGCCUAAUCGAAGGAACAUUGUUCUAUUUUUGUAGGACUACUAAAUGGGUCGAGGCCAUAUUCCCAUGAAGUAAGUGGAUAAGAAGGAUAUUGUAGAAAUGAUCAAAACACAUAUUGUCCAUCGGUUCGGCCGAGACGAGACCGUCGUAGCUGACAAGACCAGGAGACAGUGUUUACCGGGGGGCAGGGGAAUAGAGUGGGUGAAGAGAAAAGUCAGUUCCGUAGAACCUUAUAAUAGAAUGCCGAAACUAUCCUUGCAGCUUACUCUCCUCAAGUCAUUUCAUAUCUCUCUUUUAUCAUAUAGAAAUAUGGAAUGUAAUCAAGCAGAAACUCCGUAAGCUGAUGACGGGAUAGCUCCAAUAACUCCUUAUAAUAAUACGGAAUGGAAUCUAUCAAGUGCAGAAUCUAAAGCUCCGUUAGCGUAAGUAAAAGAAUUCAUUGAAUCCAUCGAGCAAGCCCCCAACUGAAUCAUGCACAAGCACCUGCACCAGUAUCUCCUUACUCAACACUUCUCUUGCUGAACCGACAAGACAAGGAUCAGAAGAGAGAAGAUAUGGCAGAGUGGGCUAUCUGAGAACUCCCUUACAUAGACCAUACUUAGUAUACUACUUUAGCGUUGUUUCACAUAGGGUUAACUCCUUGUAUGUAGAAUUCCCUAUGAAGCCUAUGUCACAGCAGUUCUAGUGCAUUGACGCCUAAGAAAAAGGACGUGGCGUGGGCAUGAGAAAAGUGUUGUUCCUGUCAGUUAAAGAUAAGAUUCUUGUUCCUGUUCUACUUAACUCGUAAACUCCAAUAAGCUAAGGCGCAAGGGUUCCGCUCACUUUCUACUUCAGAUAUAUAGAGGAGAGUCAAAAAGCACCUAUUCUGACUUAUGAAGCGCAAAGGUACUUAUAUAGAGAAUUUGCAGAUAAGAGAAGUAACACAUUGUAUUAUGGCUCUUUAGGAUAGUCUCUUUGCCAGCGGAGAUGAUUUCGUUUUUCCGACCUAUACUUGAAGUUCAGAACUGGCGUUAUAAGUAAGGGCAACAGGAACAGACCCGUCUUUGAAACAAUUCCCUUACGCGCAACUCAAUCAAAGAUUCAUUUAUUGACGGCAAAAUGGUCAUUUAGGAAAGCUGCUCAUCUUGCAGGCCAAUAAUAGUGAAGUGAAACUCCCUUCCCUGACUCACCGGGCGCAACUCAAACAUCAAUUGAUUUAUUUACUGCUGUAGAUUCUUAUACUUAUUCAGAUUUCCCUUAGCCCAGUCGACUCGAAUGUGAGUGAGUGUCCUUCAGUUCUUGUUAAGUCAAGGUCGAAAGCAUAAAGGAGUGUUUGUUUUGUAUAGAAUGGAUUUGAUUAAUCCUCUCUCCCUGAAAGAAGUAAGGCUAUUGUGGAGAUUGCCAAGAUUGAACUAGCCCACGGAGCUAGAAGGUUGAAGGCUCAAUCAGGGCGCGGCUGGACGGAGGAUAUCCCGAUUAUGAUCCCUAUGGAGGCUUGUAUCGAAUCUAUAUCUCCGACUUACUUCAGUGUCAGAGGAUGGCGCUAGUCUUCGCUAAGGAAGUAUUAUGGUGCUAUCUAUAAGUGUAUUAUGGUGCUUUUCUAAUCGAAUCUAGUUUAUGGGGUGCCAUCUAAUCUCAUCUAGUUUAUGGUCCGCCUAUUGCACUAGCCCACCUAUAGCCCUUUUAUCUGAAACAAAAGUCUCUGAUUCCCGUGGAGGAUAAAGAAGAAAGCUGUCUUGUCUUAUCUUCUCCCCGGCUUAUAUACUAAAUGAUACGUAACCUAAGACGUGAGAAUUGGAGCAAAGAUCCGUUUCCGGUCUUCUUUGGCUACUCGGGUCGUGCCUCCCUUUAGAGCAAGUUGUCACAUGUCGCUUUCCUCCCUUCGAUCCUUUAAUUGAAACCUUUCUUUGACUUCCUCCUCUUCUCGGCAGUAAACUCACUAAAUAGAAGGCACCACGCAUUAACUAUGACUUUUGAUAGGGGCUUCUAACGAUUCACUAUUACUUUGUUUUAUAAGGGCUUGGCUUCUAACGGAUUAACUAAUUAUAGGGGCUUCUCAAAAGAUCAAGGUUGUGCUUUCUUUAGAAGAAGGCUUUUGGUCCUUUGCUUUGAAGCUGUCGUCCGCGUCCGUUCUAUCUGGUCUAUAAGACGAAAUCGCAUUGCUGUUCCCCCCAUUUCGAGGGCAAGGUUCACCCCUUUAUACUAGUGGAGCACUACUACUCUCAAUCCAUAGAAGUGUUUUGACGGCGGAACGAGGGAAAAGAUAUAUUGAUGAGAAAAGAAAAGAUGCAUUAUACACUAAAUGAAAAAAGAACCAUAUUGAGCCCCAUGCAUCAUGCUUCAAAGAAUUCUUAAGCUCAGCUGGCGGAUCCAACCACUAAUUAGAACAACCCAAGCGAAAUUGACCAGCUUGUAAGCAAUAAUAUUACCCUUAUGAAGAACAUGGCUAAUGUGAAAGAAAGUCCCCAUCAUCUUAUUAAGAAAGUGUGUUAUUCCAUAAAAGGUGUAAUUGCCACGCACGGAGGGAGGGAGUCUAGUUUCCAGGGGUCAAGAUUGAACAGCAGCCGAGGAAUCACUUUCAAUCCAAAUCUUCGGACAAUUAAAAGAAUGAGACAUUGAGAAAAGAAAAGGUAUUCAGAAUGCCCAUAUAUUCUGCAAAGAAAGAAGUGCGAUGUCCGCAUACUACAACCACCCCUAAAGAGACCAGACCUUCACUUCACAAUUACGAAAAACUCCAAGCUGCGAAGCCUGGCAAACUCACCUAAACCUUCCCAGAAAGAGAGCAAGCUUCCAAGAUACUGUCAUCAUCUUCCGGGCUGACCUAAGCCAAUUUAUAGCAUGAGACAUCAAUUGAUUCAGGAGCCAAGUAGGCCACUUGUACACCGAUAAAGCUCUGCUGGAAGAUUGCCUCGAAAACUGUCUGAACAAGUUGAACACGCCUCCGACAGAAAUUGACUGCUAACUCAUCUUUGUCAGCAAGACUCUGUAUCAAAAGACGGAUAUUCUAGGACUACCUUUGCCACUCGGGACUUAAAAGAGAAGUCAAAGGGGGCCAAGUAACUGCUACAAACACAAAGAAGGGAAGGAGCAAUUCCGGUGUGAGUUCGGUGCCCAGAGCGAGUCAAGUAUUUCUAGUGGUAGGAGUCCUGUUUCUAGCGUCAGUGAGUUACCCAGCUUUAAUAGAAGUGCAAGUCACAACUACGUAUAGGGGUGAGUUCAAAGAGCAUUAAGUCGAGGUCGGUUCAUCAAUUAUCUUUCUGAUAUUAGAUAGAAGAAAAGUGGUCGCCAAGUCACUACUAGAUUAGAGAGUAAGUAAAGCAAGGCUAGAAGCAAGGUGUGGCAUACUUUGAUGAGUAUUUUCAGAAUCAAGAUAGUCAAGUAGACCUUAGAGGCAGUGAGGACAGGCUCCUAGUUUUGAGUUUCAUUAUUUUCAGUAGUAGUGAAAUUACUGUUAGUAUAUUAGUGACAGGUUGAAAGCAAGACUCCUUAGGAACAGGUAUAAGUUGGUGCCCAGCAAAGUGAGGCUCAUAGUAAUUAGUUAAGGAGUAUAAGAUAGUCACGUAAGCCUAAGUUCUAUAGGGGCAAUUCGGAUUGAUUGUAUUAGUGGUAUUCUGACUUCAUUGAUUGGAUUCCCAGUAGUACCAGUUAAGCCCUUGGUAGUGCUAGCAUUAUUCUGAGUGGCAGGCGGACUUCCGUGUUUAGGUCAACAGCUUUAGGUACUCUACUUAGGAGUUUCAAUUCACACUUGCCCCAUAUAAAGAGAAUAGUUUCAAAUGAGCUCUAACAGCACUUAUGUUGGUUUGAUAUCCCCAUCAUGUAAUAAACCCAAUAGGGCUUAUAAUGCAUUGCAAGCCCAUACUUUCUUAAUACUGGGAAAGAGGAUACAGAGCGCAACUAACAAUAUGGAAUAAGGAAUGGGUUAAACAAUACAGAGAAUGGAAGCCAUGAAAGUCAGAUUACAAGCAGUGGGCGCGGGUACAGAUUUAGUAUGAUUGGUUCUAUUCUUUAUUAUAAGUAAGGGGAUUCUAGUCGUUGGUUUGAUUCCCUUGUUUUGAGUGAGAUCUAGCCUCUAGUAGUUGAUUCUGCCAUUAGUAGUUAUUCCAAUAGUGAUAUUUGAUAGUUAGGAAGGUAAGACUAGGGGCCAGGGGAUGUAGUCUAAGAUAUAGUAGAGCGAAGAUCCGAUCAGUAUUCAUAGAGUGCAGGUAAAGAAAGGCAGGCUCAAGCAGGGGAAUAGAAGCUAUGGUAUAGCAAAGUAGGGUUCGAGGCCAACAGCGAAAGAAGUCAAGAGUCCCCCCGACAGUAAGUCUGAUCUAAAGCAGAGUAGCAGCCUAAACCGUAUAAGCAAGGUCGUAAUAAGCACUUGAAGAGUUUGAGUUGAACUACAGAAUGAUAGCUAGGAAAGGCAGCUUUGGUGACAGCAGUGAAAUAGUUUUCUAUAGGAUCAAUUAUUGUUAUCAUUAUGCAGGCAGUUCUCUACUCUAGUGGGGCGCGUGCCGAGCCUUGGUAUCGGUGUUUUCCCUCUCAUCGGUAAUUGGUUCAAAGUCCUAUCAGCAGUGGAGUUGGGAAUGCAAUACAGGUACCGGAGUUAGGGCAGUGCCAGUUGGAAAGCAAGAGAUACCGAUGUAGACUAAGUAUUGGUAGGCCGAUAGACAGGAAAGUCAUACUUUAAGACGGGAGCGUCAGAGACAAACUCGAUUUCGGGGUCCGCUGUUUCUGUUUGAAAGUCAGGAUCUAGACCCGUAGCUACAGAGUUCAGGGCAGGCUCAAAAGCUUACAUAUCACUACCAAACAAGUAAGGCUUCCACUGCAGGAUUGAGUUCUUGUAUCGUAUUUUCAUUAUGAGAUAUAUGACUACUAUUCUCAGAACUGGUGUUUAUUCGUGAGUUGUGUUUGGGAGCGAAAGCCUUAGAAGCGAUAGUGAAAGCCUAAGUUUCGAGGCUUUCAGCACCUAUAGUGAGUAGUCAAAGCCUUCUAUAUGGUGUAACAUUCUCAUAGUUUGAGUCGCAUUCCUAUGAGUUUAAGCGGUUGUUGGGCACUGUUCCAUUCUUUCUAGGCACUAUUUCUGUCUUAUACGCUGUAGUGGAAUUCUCCUGUUUCUCUCCAAUGACUCAUUCUUUAUUUCCAUUAUGGGGCUUCUAGGUGUUUAGAGCCGGUAACGUAGUGGAGACCAGUAUUCUUACUCUCAUUCUGACUUAUGUCUUGAAUCCUUAUAUCCUCUUAAUUCUGACUUAUGUCUUGAAUCCUUAUAUCCUAUACUGGAAUUCUGCUUUUAUGGGGUGAAUUCUUACAUUAAUGAGUUGCUUUCUACCCCUGUGUGUUAGGUUAGCACAUCCUGUUACUAAUAAGUUAAAGGACCAUUUCUUCUUAUCCAGCUGUAGAUCUCGUUGUUGCCAUUUCCAUUACUAAUGACUCUACUAUCUUAUAUUAGCAUAUUCUACUAUCUUAUAUUAGCAUGUAUAUUAGCAUGUGUGUUUUCAUAUGAUAUUUGCUAUUAACUAGUACUGUACUACCGAUCCAAAGGAAUAAAUCUACUGAUAAUAAGAAGGAAGGGAGCGAAAGAGUGGAGAGCAAAGGGACAAAGACUUAGAGAUAUGAAAGAUAGGUGAAGAUCCAUGAGUUUGGGAAUCAAAGGUGGGCAAUGCAUACUUAACGGUAUGAGUGACAGGCCAGGUAGCAUUAGUUCAAUCUCUCAUUGUUCGUAAAAGAAUGAGAGAAGCGCCAGGACAAGCCUGUUUGCCAUCAGUUCGGUUCUCUUAUUCCCUUAUAGUUAAGCCCUUGUUUGAUUGAUUCUGUUUCUUUGAUUUGACUAUUCAAGGCCGUGGUUUCAAUGAGUUCUCUUAUUAGUGGUAGCGCUAUUCUUUAGCUAACACCCUGUUGCUUGUUUCAACCUGAUAAGGAGUAGCUGGAUUACAAGUUUCCUAUUUCAUGACUAAAAGCUGCAGUAGCAGGCUCGUGGGUGGGAGUCAAAGUCUCAUACGCCUUAGUUCCACUCUGAUAGUAAGUAGUAGCAGGAUCCGUUGCCGAAGCCGAGGAGAAUGCCUGCGUGUUGUAGACGAGAGCUUUGCUUGCUUCAUUUGAAAAGGGUAAACGAGUGAGUAGUGGUGCGAGCUUGCUUGAGCAGAGUCUCUUUCUGCUCUUGUGGAAUUUGGAUGUGUUUUCCUCUGCGCUACAACUUAUUGGAUUGGAGUUCGGUAUGCGCUAACGAGAGUUAUCUCUUAUCUUCUGUUUCUGCAUUUGAAUCGAAAGAUGAAAUAAAGGAUUAAGACAGUGGAGUUUAGUAUCGUAUGAGUUUAGUAUCAUAUAGCAAAAGGGUAAUUAGGGAAUCAGAGGUGUUGCGGUGAACAAGUAAGCGAGUUAUAUCAUCGGCAUUAGGAGCUUUGCAAGCCAUUACAUUAUUAGUGAAUUAGCCGUUGCGCAAGGGCGAUUACAGCGCCUAAUAUGUUUGGCUACGAGAGAUAAAGGUGAAAGUGUUGAAUCUUCUAAAUCAGGUAUUGCAGGAAGAAGCGCUUGAGUCUAAAGUUGAGUCGACGAAGAUCAUAUAAGUCCCCUUCUGUUAUAGGUCCAGUAUAAAGUAGAGUUUCGGGUUCAAGUAAGAAUCUAGUUCCAUUAUUGGGAUUAAUAGUCCAUUCAUUUCUGUAUUUCUAGAUUGAUUCUUGGACGUAGUGGUUCAAUUCCUCUUAUUAUAGGAUGAAGUAUUGAGUUCAGUAAAGCAAAGAUCCGGGGACUGGAUCGGUAGCUAUAGACUGAAGCAAGGGUAUUAGGAGUAGCGGAGUGGAAUUCCAGUCGAGUGGAUAGUAAUACCUAUAUGUAGGGAAGGCGGUGAGGAUAGUCAGACCUAUUGCCGGUAAAGGUAAGGCUGAUGGACCGGAGUAGAGGAAUCAGAGACAGUGGAGGCAGGCUAACAACUAUGCUAGUAAGCUAAACUGGAGCAUAGGUAUCUAAGGUAAGGAGCCCGGGACUGAGAGGCGCGAAAGGCACGAUUCAGGCUUGGCACCGAUGUUAACUAAUAAGGCUUGGAUCUAUGUGGACUAAUAAGGCUAUUUUCCUCUGUCGUUUAGCUUGGUUUACUAGGUUUAGUUAAUAGAGUCGUGUUUUGUUCUUACUUAAUGGAUUUUCUUCUUUAACGGAAGCAGUUUAGUAAUGAAAGACAUGAUGUACAACCUAAUAGGUAAGGGGGACUUUCUAGGCGGAAAUAAAGUAAGGGCUGGCUAAUAGACAGGUCGCAGCUGGCAGUUUUCAAGUAAGUAGUGGUAGCGUAGUAGGUCUACACCCAAAGAAUACAAGGUAGUAGUGUCAGUUGGAAGCUAGCACAUAAGAAGAAAAGUCAGUAGCGGAAGGCUCAGUUCCGCGGGCAACAUCUUCGUUUUUGGUUAGCGCAUCGGCCUUGCCCCGUACCAGUGCAUUUCUUAUUGACAGCGUUUUCAUCCUAAUGGUUCACAGUUGAGCUCCCUGUUCCGAGUGCAAUCUUUAUUGGUAUGGAUUUGCUCCUUGCUAGUUAUUCCUAGACUAGCUGCUCAUUCCUAUACUAAUUAGUUCCGCUCUGACUCAUAACCCCAGAUCCCCAUUCUAAUACUAACGAGUAUAAUUCCUAGGUGGAGGUUCGAUUCCUAUACCCUUGCUCGCAUUCCCGAUACCCCCAUUGACCCAUUCCACUCACCAUCCUUAGUAUACUGACCCUUUAGCUUGAAAGAAAGGAACGAAAACAGGUGGACGAACAAAGGUGGCCGCCUUUCUAAGUUGCUUGGCGCUUAGUUGCUUGGCUGUUGAAGUCUGAUACUGCUUAGGUGCAUUCCUGUUGUUACUGCUUGAAGUCUAUGUCUGCCGUUGCUUGGCCCAUUCUUGGAGGUACUCGUAUAGGUUUAGCGCAAGUGAAGUAAGACUAGAAGCCUGUAGAUAUAGAAUGAGACAGAAGGAAGUAAGCCCGAGAGCCGGGUUAGAUCAGUUGUUAAGUGAAAGCCCUAGUUUCCAGUGGGAGUUUUUGAGAUAGUAGCUACAUUCCCAGCUGUGAGCUACAGUUAUGUUGGCAUUAGUUCCAAUCCAAUACUGACUACCUGUAUUCUGUAUUCUUGUAUUGAUUCUAAGGUCCGACUCUUGUUGAUAUUGUUUUGAUUACUAGAUAGAGAUGACCUCUGUUUCCGCACUAAAUAUAUGAUAAAUGAAUGAUGAAUACAGUCGCUUCACUAUGAUGAAUACAGUAGCUUCACUUCUAGGAUAGAUCGAGUCGGGUGCGAGUCUAGGUUAAGCGGUUUCUUCUGAACUUCUGUGGCAACAGUUCUAUUCUUAGGCUACACCUCAAGUACGUCCCUUAGGCUACAUCUCCUGCACCAACAUUUGCAUUUUCUCUUUCUCUACACACAUUUGCUCUUUAUCUAUCUAUUCAAAAGGUGUGUUUAGUUCCAGAACUCCUAUUCUAACUGCCCGGUCGAUAAGGCUUCCCUGACUUUCUUAGCCCUUACCACUCCUUUGAUUCUUUAACGCUGGAAGAUGAUCCUUACUUACUUGUUUGAGAAUCCAACCACUGGUGCCGAGACCUUCACUGCUUACUUGCAUCCUUGCUUCCACUGAUCAGUAUACCAAUACGGAACUACAAUACCCAUAGUAGGAAUAAGGACGGAAAUCCCCGCCUCCAAGGCUAAAACAACAAGAGAAAGUGAAUCCAGCCAAACUCAUAACGCAGCUAACAAGGAUAUAGCUCAUAACAAGGAAUCCACCAAAAGAACAUAAGACUGAAAACGCUGCUACCGAGGCUUCAACAAGUACUACCAAUACAGCAACUUUCAAUACUGGAUACUAAGCAUGGGUACGUUGUAGCGCAUCUCAGAUAAUCAAAUGUAGGUCUGAUCUAGUGCAUUAAGAGACGGAGUAAAAACGUAGCUAACAAUAAUCAAAUAAGCAACUCGUAAUUCCACUCAUUAGUAUAGGCAUGAACCAAGCAACUGGGGCUUUUGCUACCAUUUACUGACGCUACACUCUUUUUGUUCCAGAUAUCCUUAUUUAUGGGCCUUAUACUUUUACAGCGUAGUGAAUUUCUUGCAGUUGUGUUUGUAUUAUUGGUAUGCUUAUCCAGGUAUACUAACUUGCUCGCCAACAAACCCACUAUUCUUAUGAGCCUUAUCCACUUCCAAGCUUAUUAGCCUUAUCCACUUCCAAGCCUAACUGACUAUACCUAUAAGCCUAAUUGAUUCUACUUUGAAUAAUUAUGUUUACUCAACACUAGGUGCGCUGGCCCCGGACACGAUGCACUAUAUUAUUUUUACAAGAUCUUAGGCUUAUAGCUCAUUAUAUCAGAAUGAAACCAAGGGCAGUUAGAGUCGGUGUCAGGAUCCGUAUCAGUAGCUACAGAGUGAGAAACACCUGGGAUAGGGGAAAGUAAUACCGAACCCUGGGAGUUUUGGAAUGAUAACAAGGGUAUUAAGCCUAUUAGUUAUAACAGCAGUUGCGUUUGGUUUGGGAGUGAUUAGUAAUUAGAACUUGAAGAUGUGCUCGUACUUCAGAUGUUUUCGUGUUACGUGUCAGUCCGGCUCGUAGGCCCAAGCCCCUUAUUACUGUGUUCGUGUCUGCCCAAGCCCAACUCUUGACUCUCUAGAGCCCGCUCCUCCAUGUGAGUCUACAUUGUCACUCGAACUUCACCUAACGAAUCAAACUAGUGCUUCACACAAUCAAACUCAGCAGUAUAAGUACGGGUAUGGUGUAGUGCAUCUAGUAAAAACAAUAGUCAUACUACUCAUAUAGGAAUAAGAAUAUGGAUUACCGAGUAGUCGAAUAAACCAACCCUUAACCAAGGAAUGAAACCAAUAAGUAGAAGCCUGCGAAAAAUGCACUAAUGAAUUUCACUUGGUUUACUGGGAAUCGGCGCAAGGAAAGCAAGAAUACAAAUACCAGUCUCAAUAAUGGAUAACUAAAUAGGGCAUUGAAGAAAGGGAUCGAAUUAAAGCAUGGGCGCUAGAGAACUGCACUUAUCGGUAAGUGAGAGAACUAGGCGGAUAGUUGAGCUAAAGAAAGCCAGUAAGCAGAGCAGGAUACUCAACCUAAACCUAACAAGUAAGAAUCGAGCCAGCAAGUCAAAGAAUAGGAACAGAGCGACUACCUCUAAGCGCGAAGCUGGUAAAUCAGGCUUGCUCUACCACUUUGGAUUCUAAGGCUCUCUCCCUUUUGGUUGGAGCUAAGAGAAAGUAAUGUAAUACAAAGAGAUAGUAGUGGCAGGUCUCUAAGACAGAAGCAGUAGGACAACUAACAAAACUCUUUAUUGGUUUACAAACUUAACUGUAAGAAGAAAGAACAAAAGUAUUGAUUAUAAGGUAUAGCAGGUAUCAUAGCGGAAUCCCUAGUUUCUUGUGUAAGUCUUAUCGGUAUUAGUUGAAUUACAAGUUUCCAGUUCAAAUAUGAGAAGCACUGAUUGAUUUCUUAUAAACAGGAGCUUAAGCCAGUGAAAGCGGCGGGGACUAUGAGAAAGUCAAGGCAUACUUAGAGUUGAGCUAAGUAGUCAAAGGAUACAAAGGCGUAUAUCUAGAGUGAGUGAGUGGAUUGACAGAAUUUAGAGCGAGGAGUUUAUUCCCGUGUUCCUAGUUCCAGUAUUGUCGGCAUCAGUUACAUUCUAAUAAGUAGUAUAAGCUUGGUUGCUAACUUCUGUGUUCCUUUGUUUUAUCUUAUAGGUCUUCUACUUCUUGGUGCGAUGCCAGAACUCACUGACGCCCAAAAGUGAGGAGUCUACAUCUCUUUACAGUGUGUGGGCGUCCGGGAAAGUAGUGGAAAUGACUGGUUGAUCUUUCACUAAAGGGAGUUUACCGGCGAAAGAAAAGAAUGUAUAGUACUAUAACUGUAGAGAGUAAGCUGCAAGCUGUGGUAUUGUAUGGAAACCAGUAAUUAUCGAAUAACUUAUAUGGUAAUUAGGGAAUAACUUAUAUGCUGGGAUGUGUGUUCUCGCAACAGAAUAAGUUGUGCGAGGAAAUGAUGUUAUCAAGUAAAGUGAUUAAUAAUAGGCCUGUACCCAUCUUAGAAUUAUCGGUUUGUUGACCCGCUUGCUGCCCUUAUUGAUACUUAACUAGCUCGGCACUGCUUCUUCUCUCGGAGACAAGAAAGGUCAAAAGCCAAGUAAGUUCCAAUCCAAAUGAUAUGAUGCCGUAGAACAGGCAAUAAGAGUAGUUCGUUUAAGGGCCUGAAAAGAAGGCAAUUCUCCACUGCUAUUGGAGUUGCAGGCGAGGACAUAGGCAAGAGGCACUGUUAUAUACUACCGGGAGUAUACAACUACUUUACGCCAGACUCACUGUUUUCGGGAGUUGGAGCUGUAUAAAGAGCCGACUUCACUCUAUUCUUUUUCUUUCCCUGGUGCAAGAAAACACACAGAACUAAUGGAAUAGAAAUAGAUACUAAUGAGUUCAGUGCUUGUAAAGGAAACUAUACUCGUACCUACCGUACCGAUACUAGUUAACGUUUACUUUCCUGGCCAAACCCAGAGAUUCUCGUAGACUACUUUAGCACCCAACCCAAAGCAAAUAUACUCAUAUGAUCUCUAAGACCUAACUGGCACUGCU